Molecule: long non-coding RNA, 76369 nt
Filed under: Solanum tuberosum (potato)
Lineage: Eukaryota; Viridiplantae; Streptophyta; Magnoliopsida; Solanales; Solanaceae
Description: long non-coding RNA (STUB_LNC007880)
Source: RNAcentral
GUUGCGAGAGUUGAAGAAUAACUAGAAUGCUCUGUGCAAUGACAACAAAUCGAUCAACUACACCUUAAUCUCAAAUUAGUUGACGUUGACUAUAUAAUCCCAUAUAUCCACACCAUUUAUAGUAUUCGGAGAUUCAUCUUAGUUUAACUAUUCUUAUCCACAUCUACAGCUGUGGAACUCAUAUUACUGAAUACCGAGUUUAUGCAAAUUUUUCUUAUAUGAAACAAUUGUAUGUUCUCCUAUUGGAACAACGCAUCACAAAAACUCCUAUGUUCCAUUACCAAUUCCAAAACAGUUGAGAUCGGCUAUAUUAAUCACUCCAUUCUAUUCUAUGUAGGUCCAUUUACUAAAUCAAGCAAAGUAUCCAAUUAACAUAACUUAAUUGCAGUCAUUUACAAAAACCCCUACUUUAAGUCUUUAACCAACAACAUCAAAGUUCAACUGAUUAUAACAAUUAAGAACAAUCUAGAAAUACAGUCAAACCUCUCUAUAACUGCAUGUUCGUCUUAAUAUUUUUUGGCUACUAUAGCAAAAGCUUGUUAUACAGAAUAUAUAAUAUAACAUGGUAUAAAAAGUCAGUCCCAAAGAUAACUUGACAGUUAUAGGAAAAGGAAAACUGUUAAUAAAGAGGUACGACUGUAAAAGCUCAAAACAACAACAACAAUAUAUCCUUAGUAAUCUCACAAGUGGAGUAGUGUGUGCAAACCUUACCCCUACAGAGAUGCAGUAUCUUAAAGACCCUCGGCUAAGGUGCAACAAAUAUCAAAGUAGUUAUGAAAAAAGGAAAUACGGCAGUAGAGAAAACAUGUCAAUUAAUACGGAAAGCCGUAUAGUAUAGGGCAACAACGGCAGUUGCUGAAAGACCCUAGACUCAAGUGCAGCAAAUCAAAGUAGUUAUAAAAAAGGAAGUACAGCAGUAAAGAAAACAUGUCAAUUAAUAAUGAGAGCAGUAUAGUAUAGGGCAAUAACAACAAAAUAAUGCAAGGGUGGUAACAACAACGAAAUAAUGCGGCAACUGAAACACAAAAGAAUGAGAAAACUCACCAAAGAGCUCCCUUUUGAGAUUUUCAUGCAUAGUAUCAUUGUUGCAAACAAAAAUAUAUCCACCAACAGUUUCAUUUUUUGGUAAAGAUUCUGAUGCUGGCAAAGUCUUGAACUUCUUAUUCUCACUACUAUUAUUAUUAGCACCCAAAUCCUUAUUACUCUCUCUAUUAAUCUUGUUAUUUUUCUUUCCAAAUUUAUUCACAAAUCCAUAAUCAUCCUGAAAAAUACCAUUUUUCCCAUUUCUCUUGUUAUUAUUAACCCCUUUUGAGUUCACCACAAAAUUGUUAAAAUUCAUAGGGUUUGUGUAAACCCCUUUAUUAAAUCCACCAUUUAAACCAACCCCACCACCACCUUUCACGGCUGAGCCACCACCAGCUGCCGCUGCCGCCGCCAUGUCAGCAAUCUUCCAACCAUCAUUACUAAAAAGAUUGUAAUCUGAAUUCAAAUUUUUUGAUGGAUUUAAAGAACUAACAGAGUUAAUCAUACCACCUACUCUGAUAUCAAAGUUUCUUCUUUCUUCAGGCCUUUUAGAUACAUAAUUGCUACUCCAAAUUGAAUCAUUUGAAGACAAAUUUACUAGGUUGUUUGUAUGUAAACGAAGAUUAUCACUGAAUUGGUAGAAAGAUGACUGAUUGUUCUCCAUUUUUUCCUCUUUUUGCUAAAACCCCAGAUGAAAUUUUUUCUAUAAAGAUUGAAUCUUGGCCUAAAACAACAAUGGAAAAAGGCUUUUUCACUAAACCCUAGAUGAUAAUUUGUCCGUAAAGAUUCAAUUUUGGACUAAAAAACAAUGGAAAAGGCUUUAUCACUAAACCCCAGAUGAUAAUUUGUCUGUAAAGAUUCAAUUUUGGACUAAAAGAGUGAAAUUUACAGAUGAACAAAGCUCAAAGAAGAGAUUAUAUUUACAAAAACUCUAAAGUAGUGGUUGGGUUUUAUAAGGAAGGGUGGAGUGAGUAAACGCGGUAGAGGGAAAUUUCGUAGAAAUGAGAGGAAUAAGGAGUGGAAAAACUUAGUCGUGUCAAAUCGUAGUAAUACUUAAUUACGUUAUACUUACCGGGGUGUUCACGAUUUGGAUAAAAAUCAAUUCAAAUAGAGAAAUAAAAUCAAAGCGAUAAUAUAUAAACUGAUUUUAUUUGGAUUUGGUUUGGUUUUAGAUUUUAAAAAAUCGACAGUAUUUGGUUUAGUUAUGGUUAUGUUCGGAAAAAAUCGAAGGAAUCGAACCGAAUCGAUAAAUUAUAUACAUAUAUUUUAUUAUCAUACAUACCUAAUAUAUUAUUUUUAUAAACAAUUUUAAAGAUAUUAUAUGUUAUCAUUAAAAUUUAUUUAUAAUUUACUUAUUGAAAGCAAAAUUGUCCAAGGUGAGAACAUUUAUGUUAGUUUCAUGUAUACGAGUGUAUGAGACUAUGACAAUUCUUUGUGAGACUAAAAUGUCACUGUUUUUUCUUUCUAGGCCAAAAUAGUGAAUUUUGAAGCUUUAUUCAUUAUAAAUUCAGUGAUCAAAAGUUUUAUAAUGUCAGUCAUUCUAACUAUUUUUCAAUUUGAAUUUAUUGUUGUCACUUUUUUCACGUUUAGAAUGAACUGUUUCUUUUAUUUUUGUGUAUGGUUAAUAACCGAACUAUAUCGAACUGAGACCGAUAACAACCAAACCAACAAAUGUAUAUUAUAUUUGGUUUGGUUUGGUUUGGUUUUGAUUUUGACCAAUAGCCGAUCAAACCGACCUGUGAACACCCCUAAUACUCAAAUUGUAGUGCGGUGAUUGAGCUCGUUCACUCUUUAAUCAGGGAUCUCAAGUUUGAGCCGAUAUUGAGAAAAUCUUGUUGGAGUGUCACCUUGAAGGGGCCCUGCAAUGUGUAUUUGAAAAUUUUAUUAGGAGCGUCAUUCCCGAAUGGGCCCUGUAGUGUGCGAUCCGAAUUUAGUCGAGGCUCCAGUGUGGGCUCCGGACACCGAGUGGGAAACUAAAAAAAAAUACAUUAUACUUUCAUCUAGCUUUAUUUGUCUACGGUAUUAUUUGGGAUGACCAACAAUACUUAUCUAGUUUAUAAAUCAAUGAAUAAUUUAUGAUUGUGCCUCUAUUUUACCCUUACUAUUAUAUAGUAUUCAUUUUUCAAUGUUAACAUGACUUAUAUUUAAGGAAAAAUUACCUAAAUACACAAAAAAAAUUUUAUCAUAUUCUCUAAAAUUCUCUACCAUUUAAAAAAUUACAAAAUCUCUACUCUCUCGUAUUCUCGGAUACAUCACUUUACGCGAUAUAUCAGGACAUUGUGUGAUGUAUCCGAAAUCGAGACGCAAUGUAUCGGGACGUUGAGUGUUGUAUCCGAAAUCGAGACGUGAUGUAUUGGAACGUUGAACAAUGUAUCCGAAAGCAUGACACGAUGUAACGAGACAUUUUGGGAUGUAUCCGAAUUUCACCAAAUUUAAGGAUUUUUUGUAAUUUGGAAAAGUUUAAAAAUAAGAUGUAAUUAGCUCUUAACAUUAUGAGAUUUGCAUAAAUUUCCUAUAUUUAAUGAAGGUGAUUUGAUAAAAUUAUCCCUAUCAUUUACUGCUUACGUCAAGUUAAUUAUAAGUACAGUAAUUAUUAUUGGACACAGAAAAUAAUGAUUAAUAACUUCUUUUUUAAUCUAGUUAUUAAUCAUGUUAAAAUUAGUAUAAAUAUAUACUAACAUGUGCCUUUACAUAAAUUAUUACCUAUAGCUCGAAAUAAAUCAUGUAUGGUUCACUUUGAUCUAAUAAACCUCACGAAUUUGUUUUUAAAAUGUGAACAUCACUUAACUUAUGUUAUAUUUUAUAAAGUCGUUCAUUUUCUUCUCCCAUUUGUUAAAAAGUCAUUUUGGAAAAGUGAUGGACAAUUGGUCUCCUUACAUAGACUUGCACAAUUAACUUAUAAGCUAGAAUUUGGGGCUGAAUUACACCCAAAAUUCAUUUUUACACCAUUUAAAUAAAGAUUCACCUAAAAUAUCAUGUACAUCUUUUCUAUAGAAGUUUGUCGACCUAAAAUCUAGUCAACUCUUCUUUUAAUUGAUCUGCUCUUCGUAUUGGGCGUCACAUACGCUCCCUUAUAAGGGUUCAACAUUCUCACUAAAAUUGUCUUUGCUACUGUAUUGAGGGAGUGUCCGACUCUUAACAUUAUUUUUUUCAUAUUCUUAACCUAUGACAAAUAUCUUUUGUUAAAGCCCAACAUAUCUUACAAAUGUAUUUCCUUGAAUUACAUUAUUAUCAAACUUAAAAAUAUGGGUAAUAAGUAAAGUUGUGAUAUAAUUUAUAAGAUUAUUUAUAUUUUCUCUUAUUCAAAUAUAAAAUUUACCUAAAAUAUCAUAUGCCUCCAUCUUUUUAAAAUAUUAUCAACAUAAAAACAUAUCAAUCUUUUUUUUAUCGACAAUCUAUAUAUCUAGGCGAAGCGACUAAAAGUAUAUUCGUUGAAAAAGGAAAAAUAAAAUAAAUUUUGAUGAAAGCAAAAGGGAAGAAAGUAGUAAUUUCACUAUAAAUAGUGUGGGGGUUAUUUUAGGUGAGCUAAUCAAAGAGUGAAUGGUGACAUAAAAACACGGUUUAGAAGAAAAAGACAUUUAAGAUGAGUUUUGAUUAAUGUAUGUAUAAGUAGUUCAAAAAAUAAAUCAAAACGUCAUUAUUAAUUAAUUAAUGUAUGUAUAAGUAGUUCAAUUAUACCAUCAAACUAUUUUUUUUUUUUUUAAAAAUUACUAUGUGAUCAAUCGAUUGGUGUAGAGAAUUUUUUUUGUAAUUUCUUCUAAGAUUUGUGAGGUUAUACGAUCAAGAAAAUAUUUUAAUAUUUAGUCAAGUGUUGAAAUUAACUUUGUAAGAGUUGAACUUAAUGACAAUUAUAGGUUUGGGUGACAAUUAGGAGAUAAUUAUAAGAGAUAACCACAACAUGAUAGAUUUCAUAAUAUGUUUAGCUGAAUUUCCAAAAUUUGUUUAGUUAGAAAAAAAAAAGUAAAAUAUUUUUUUAAAAUACUAUUAAAAAUAAUUAGUUAUAUUUGAUUAAUCAACUUAAAUAAUUUUUUAUUAAUAUAAUAAUAUUAAUUUAUGCUUAAUUAAGAUUUUAAAAUUAGUUCUUGGAAAAUGCUACUUUUUAUGCUUCUGAAAAACCAACGUUUUAUUAUUAUAAAAUGAUCAAACACUUCAAUAACUCCACUUUUUAAAAUAACCAUUUUUCCAAAAAGAAUAUUUUAUUUUUCAAACAAUUGACCAAAUAAGAUAUACUAUUCAGAUCCUCUAACAUCCAUCUAGAAGAUCAUAUUUAUUCUACUAGGUUGGGUUUCAAAAUUAAGAAAAAAGCAAAUGGGUGAGGUAAUAUUCCUUAUUUAUUUAUAUAUGUAUUUAUUUAUUUGUUUUACUUAGUUGCUAAGUUAAGCUUCAAUCUGUGAGAGGUGCACUUAGACAUGUCAAUUCAUGUGGAAACAGUCAACCCAAAGUUUACUUCGUCCAAGUUUUUUUUUAAAACAAUUAACAUGAUAUGAUAUUAACCGUUUAAAUUAAAUUAGCUUAAUUUUUUUUGGGAAAAAAAGAUUUUGCAUUAUUAAGAAUGUCAUUAUAUAUUAUAGGGAAAAGGGUUUGAAAAAUACUCUAACUUUGGCCGAAAUUGCUAUUACGAUACCAAACUUUAUGGUGGACAUUUUACCCCCUGCACUAUUUAAUAGUGUAUUUUAAAGGUAUAUAUGUGCCCACGUAGACACAUUAAUAUUUAUAAUGAUGCAAUAUUUAUGAUGUCCGCGUGGGCACAUAUAUACCUUUAAAAUACACUAUUAAAUAGUGCAAUUUGUUUUACUUAGUUGCUAAGUUAAGCUUCAAUCUGUGAGAGGUGCACUUAGACAUGUCAAUUCAUGUGGAAACAGUCAACCCAAAGUUUACUUCGUCCAAGUUUUUUUUUAAAACAAUUAACAUGAUAUGAUAUUAACCGUUUAAAUUAAAUUAGCUUAAUUUUUUUUGGGAAAAAAAGAUUUUGCAUUAUUAAGAAUGUCAUUAUAUAUUAUAGGGAAAAGGGUUUGAAAAAUACUCUAACUUUGGCCGAAAUUGCUAUUACGAUACCAAACUUUAUGGUGGACAUUUUACCCCCUGCACUAUUUAAUAGUGUAUUUUAAAGGUAUAUAUGUGCCCACGUAGACACAUUAAUAUUUAUAAUGAUGCAAUAUUUAUGAUGUCCGCGUGGGCACAUAUAUACCUUUAAAAUACACUAUUAAAUAGUGCAGGGGGUAAAAGGUCUUUUCUAAAGUUCAGUAUCGUAACAACAAUUUCGGUUAAAAUUCGGAUAUAUUUCAGACCUUUUUCCCUAUAUUAUAAGUAACUUAUUCUUUUGUUUUAAAUAUUAAUAUGAAAUUUUGUUCACUAAUUUCACAAUUUUUUUCUCAAACUAAAUUUUACAUGAAUCAUGAUCUAAUGGUCACUUCUUCUUUUUUGGUGUGUGUAUCUAUGCACGAUGCAUCUUCAAAGCUAUAAAUAAAGAUAAUAAACCACUUCUUAGAUGAUGCAAAAACAUUAUGUUGAAUCUCACGCCAUUACUAUGCUAUCUUCAUGUCCAUCUUGCCAAAAUUAUUAAAUCUGUUAGAUAUCACUUGUUGCGCUAAUUCAGUCCAAAUACUUUUAAUAUGACAUGAUAUUAUCCGCCUGGAUUAAACCGACACGAUUUUUCUCUUGUAAAUUCUCUUUCUUGCACAUAAAAAGGCAAACACUUAUAUUUCCUUACAAACACAAUGGUAGUAUGGGCUGAAGCAAAGUGGACUUUGGGAAGCCCAACUUUCAAGCCCAUAUGAUAAUCCAAACAUUAAUGAGGUGUGAUCCACAAUUAUAUAGUCCAAGUGAGCAAAAACCAUAGCUCCAUUUUGUUUUAUUUUCUUACAAAGUUUAAUUUAAUUCAUAUAUUUCUGAUUAAGAUAUAAGAGCAACUUUCACAUAUAGCAAACACAAAAUUCAUAUUUGUAUGCUAUAGCAAAGUUUGCAUAAUUGCGCUCCAUAGCAAACAUAAAUAUGUAUAUUUCGCUAUACAUAUACAAAAGAAAGCAGUUGUAUACAAAAGAUCAAUNNNNNNNNNNNNNNNNNNNNNNNNNNNNNNNNNNNNNNNNNNNNNNNNNNNNNNNNNNNNNNNNNNNNNNNNNNNNNNNNNNNNNNNNNNNNNNNNNNNNNNNNNNNNNNNNNNNNNNNNNNNNNNNNNNNNNNNNNNNNNNNNNNNNNNNNNNNNNNNNNNNNNNNNNNNNNNNNNNNNNNNNNNNNNNNNNNNNNNNNNNNNNNNNNNNNNNNNNNNNNNNNNNNNNNNNNNNNNNNNNNNNNNNNNNNNNNNNNNNNNNNNNNNNNNNNNNNNNNNNNNNNNNNNNNNNNNNNNNNNNNNNNNNNNNNNNNNNNNNNNNNNNNNNNNNNNNNNNNNNNNNNNNNNNNNNNNNNNNNNNNNNNNNNNNNNNNNNNNNNNNNNNNNNNNNNNNNNNNNNNNNNNNNNNNNNNNNNNNNNNNNNNNNNNNNNNNNNNNNNNNNNNNNNNNNNNNNNNNNNNNNNNNNNNNNNNNNNNNNNNNNNNNNNNNNNNNNNNNNNNNNNNNNNNNNNNNNNNNNNNNNNNNNNNNNNNNNNNNNNNNNNNNNNNNNNNNNNNNNNNNNNNNNNNNNNNNNNNNNNNNNNNNNNNNNNNNNNNNNNNNNNNNNNNNNNNNNNNNNNNNNNNNNNNNNNNNNNNNNNNNNNNNNNNNNNNNNNNNNNNNNNNNNNNNNNNNNNNNNNNNNNNNNNNNNNNNNNNNNNNNNNNNNNNNNNNNNNNNNNNNNNNNNNNNNNNNNNNNNNNNNNNNNNNNNNNNNNNNNNNNNNNNNNNNNNNNNNNNNNNNNNNNNNNNNNNNNNNNNNNNNNNNNNNNNNNNNNNNNNNNNNNNNNNNNNNNNNNNNNNNNNNNNNNNNNNNNNNNNNNNNNNNNNNNNNNNNNNNNNNNNNNNNNNNNNNNNNNNNNNNNNNNNNNNNNNNNNNNNNNNNNNNNNNNNNNNNNNNNNNNNNNNNNNNNNNNNNNNNNNNNNNNNNNNNNNNNNNNNNNNNNNNNNNNNNNNNNNNNNNNNNNNNNNNNNNNNNNNNNNNNNNNNNNNNNNNNNNNNNNNNNNNNNNNNNNNNNNNNNNGAACGAAAAUAUAUGUAUUUAUACAAUUUUCUCUCGCUUUAUACAAACACAAACGCACUUUAUACACUUGCGUUUGUAUAAAAAAAGAGAGAGGCGAGGGAGAGAACGAGAGUGGCGAGCGAGAUUCACCAGGAGUGAGGUGAAAUAGCAACAGUUUGCUAUGAGGUACAAUUAAAUCAAACUAUAUUUAUAGCAUUUAAUUUGAAUUAAUAGUUUGCUAUUAUAUACAAUUUUCCCUUUUAAUUGGAUGCUUAUUUAUUAUAAUUUAAUGUAAUAGGGAAGUGUAAAGAUCUUAUGCAGAAGUGUUUUUUUUAGGUCAAGGUGUGAUCUAACAAUUGAUAAAUUAAUUAACAAUCAGAAUUCAAAUUCUAGCAGAAACAUCUUUUUAAUAUGUUAAAAUUAUUGGACAAAAAAUCAUUAUCCGAUAUUUGGGGUUAAUGAAAGGUACUUAUUAAUAAGUAUAUAACAAAAUAACCGAGGUAUGCACAAAAUUAUGACGCUCAUAAUAGAGGACUAGUCAAGGAAAAUAACUAAUAAGUUUUUAAAGAAGAGGUACAUAUCACACCUUAAAUAAAUUCUAUAUCGGAAUAAGAGAGACAAGUGAAAAUUUUAUAGGACAUGACAUAAAUUUAUAUGUGCACACACUUUUGGGCUCAAUAAUGACGUAGAAUUAGAGACAAAUCCAUAAGGCCCGUUAUAUUGAGUCCAAUUGAAUAAUACGUAUCAUGAAUUUGGAUCGUGACAUAAUUGUAUUGAAACAAUGAGCACUAUUGUUACAAAAAAAAAGAUAGAUGGGAGGGAUAAGACAUUCUGAUUGUGUGAGACUUCUUUUUGUCUCACAAAUAGGUGGAUCCAAAUUUUAUUUGUUCGAGUCCAUAUAUUUUGGAUCUCAUUAACUUGUUAUAUAAAACGAAGUUUCACACAAUUAUUAUUACAGUUAUGCGAGAUAUGAAAUAAUUUUUUCUCGAAGAAAUAAAAUUUCAUAAAUAAUAUUUCAAGUUUAUUGUUUCUUUCCACCCAUCAAAUGCCCCUUAACUCUCAUUCCUUGACCAUCUCAUCCCUUGCCACUUCUUAGCCCACUCCCACUCCUCAUUCCGCACUUCAUUGAUUCAUAUAAUAUUUUGUCAGAUUAUAUAUAAAUAUUUUUAAAAUAAUAUUUUUAAUCUACUUACAAACUCAUUGAACACUAAAAAAUAAUUAAGAAAUCAGUCCAUUUUACUUCCUACUCCCACUCUAGAUCCUCAUCUAACUUGUAAAACAAAUUAAAGAAAAAGAUACCCCAACUAAUAAUGUUGGUCAAGAGAAAGAUGCAUAUGCCAUAAGUAAUAAAGUAGCAUGAAACUGUCCUGUUAUUUGUUAACAUACUAUAAUUAACUCUAUUUUUUUGUACUAAAAGUUUAAUUUUUGCAACAAAAAGAAACACCACUAAAUAAAUAUAGUAUUAAACAUUGAAGCCAUGGUUUAUACGUCAUGCCUUGUGUCAUCAUCUUCUAUUUAAAAUUCUAAAAUUCAUUGCUAGUUAAUAAGUGGCAAGCUAGCAAGCUAGCCUAUAUCAAAGUGGAGGAUCUAGAACAGGUUCCGCAGAUUUAACUGAAUCUAUUAUUUUCGACUUAAAUUAUCUGUGAAAUAAUGAAAACUUAAUAUAUACAAUCGAACAAUAAUAAUAUACUUAAUAUGAUUUCACAAGUAAAAUUUAGAAAAAGUAAAAUGUAUGUAAUUUGUAGUACUCCUACUAUCAUGUAAAGAAUAAAAAUAUUAUUUCUGAUAGACUUUCGACUUUGAUCCAAUCCUAGGAUAUAUAAUGUAUGCCACUCAAUUAUUAUAUUUUCCUUAAUUUCCAAUAAUCAUCAUUUGCUUAUGUAGAAGCAAUAUUAAGAGGGUUAAAUGAAUGUCCACUUGACUAGUAAAUAUUCCUAUUUGCCCAUGAUUGUCUUCACAUCAAUAUAUUACAUACUCAAUACAAAUUGAAAUACAGGUGUGAGGUGUCAAUCUGUAAAGUUUGGUAUAAUAAUACAAACUACUAAUAUUUUUAUUAUAUGAAACAAAGAGGAGCAAACAGUACACACGAAUGCAUUCAAACGUAAUUCUAUUGGUUUGUUUUUCUUUAUCCAUUUUCUCUAAUGAAAAUAAAUACCUGAACAAAAGUUAAAGUAUUCACUUAAACUAUUUUGUUUUUCAUCGAACACUUAACAUAUGUUCAUUAUGUCACUGUUUAACUUGACAUACUCAUUACGAAAAUAAUUAUUGAUAUAGAUAUUUAUCAAACUAUCCCAAUAAAAUGAUAUUUUAGUAUUAGGUCUUAUAAAAUGAGUUGUUGAAUAAGUAUUUAAUGGUGAAUGUGAAGUAUGGAAAAAAAAAUACUACUGUAAUUAUUUUUUCUUGAAAUACAAAUAAGAAUUAAAAUCUAUUUUAGAAAUAACUGACAAGUAAGAGUGAACGGAUGAAGUAAUAAAAUGUUCUUAUUCAAAUAUUUUUAAUUCAAAGUUUUUGAAAUUAUUCUCUAUCGUUUAUCACAUAGAUAAGUUAACAACUUAAAAUAUAACACCUCGUUGUGUUAUGAACAUUCAUCUUAACAAGCUAUAAAACUUUAGAAUAUGUUUUAAUUGAUGUUGGUGCAUAUAAUUAAAUGAGAUGUUAUAUUUUAUUAUGUAAUUUAUUUAUGUCAUGACACUUGAGAAUGCAUGCAUAUAUUUUUUCUAAAAUAUGAGCCGAAGGUGUCUAACAUGAGCAUUUUAUUAUAUGUUCAGAUGUUUAAAUCGAAACAAAUUAUUAUAAUAUGAAUAUCUAAAUAAAAUUUACUUGUAAGUUUAAGUAGAAGUCGUUGGAUUCACCCUAUUUUUGUAUCAAAAUUAAUAGAUAUAAUACAUAAACGUAAACUUAUAUAUAACUCUUUAACCCUCUAAUUUUUUUGUGCGCAUAAACAGACACUUUAACUUAUAUAUAACUCUGAAUAUGUAACAUCUUGAGUGGCGUCUUAUACAACAAUUUGCAUAAAAUCAAUUGUAUUGUGUCAAGUAGAAUUUGUAUAUCUACUUAUAUAGUUAUAUAAAUGCUAUCCAAUGACGAGUUAAAAGAAGUAUUUAUAUAUUAUAUCAAAUUGACAAAAUUACCCUCACACGCUUUUCGAAGCACUUAUAUAGUAACUUUAAACCAAAACACAUGUUUUAAUUAUACACUGUAUAUCUACUUCUCAGAAACAGCAAGAAAAAGCUCUGUUUUGAACGGCCCGUUAAUAUCACCGAUCACCGGCAGCUUCCGUUACCGCCGGCGGAAUUAGAAAAGUUUUCAGCUUGAACUCCUCCGUUUUAAAGGGUGUCCAAAUAUGCAAUUAUUAUUUUUUCUUUUUAACUCUAUUUAUUAUUACUAAGAAAUUUAUUCCUGUGUAAAUGCAAGAUUUAGAGUUCCUAAUUCUAAAAUUGUAUCUAAUUUUCAUUUGUGACAAAGAUACAAACUUUUAGUCAUAAUUUUUUUAGAUUUUUUUUCAUUAUAUAUAGUUCAAGAACAUCUAUUGCCAAAAAAAUUGAUACCCAUGUAGAGAAAUGAAGUUAAUUUAGCCUACAAAAAGUUAAGGAAUUUUUGAGCCAUUGUAGAUUUCUGAUUCAGAAUUCCAUUUUAAUGGAGAAUAAAGGGUAUUUUAUUUCAAACCAGCAGCAUCAGCAACACAAUUUCUCAGCUGCUGAAGGUUUGAUUUUUAUUUAUUUUUUAAAUUUUUUUGGGGUAUUAUUAAAGAAUUCAAUUUAUUUUUUAUUUUUUUGUAAAAAUGUUUACUUUUGAAUUUGUUUUUGGAAAAAGUUUCAGGUGAAAAUGAAUUGUACCAAGAGUUAUGGAGAUUGUGUGCAGGUCCAUUAGUUGAUGUUCCAAAAAAUGAAGAAAGGGUUUACUAUUUCCCACAAGGUCACAUGGAACAAGUAUGUUUUUUUUUCUUCUUUUUGUUUCAAGUUUGGCUUUAUAUCAGUAGAGGAAGUUAGGAGGGUUGUGGUGGAGUGAUAUGUACUCUUUCGGAUUUAACUAGAGGUCUCGUAUUCACCUCUGUUGAAUACGGAGUCCUCUUUGUUAAGGAGUGAUUUAAGGUACUUUCCAGUGUGAAUGCGGAUUUAGUGGUCCCAAUGCAGGUAGUGUAGGUAUAAAUUUGUUUCAGUUUUGGUUUGAAUCAGAGGUGGAACUAACAAUGGUGGUGUGGUAAGUACACAUUUCAUCCUUAACAACAAGAAGUCUCGUGUUUGAGCUCUGUUGGGCAUGGAGUUGCCUUUGUUAGUGAGCACUUUACUGGACUUUCAAGUGUGAAUGCGGAUUAAGUGGUCCCAAUGUGGGUAUUAGAGGUAUUAAUUUGGUUUUGAAUCAGAGGCAGAAGCAACAAGGUUUGUAGUGGAGUGGUACGUACUCCUUUUGUACUUAACCAAAGGUCUCGUGAUGGAGCUCUACUUGGUAUGAAAUCGCCUUUGUUAUGGAGUGCUUACUAGAUUGUUCGGUUGGAAAUUUGGAUUUAGUGGGGCCCCAACAAGCGGAUGUGGUGCAUAAGUUAUAGGCUGAUCUAAACCAGCAAUUUUUGUUCAGAACCCUGUAUAUGUGUAAAAGAUUCACCAAAUAAGUACAAAUAAUAGAUUUCCAACUCAACGAAUUGCACGGGCAAUGGUAGAUUUCAUCUUGAGCAAUUUUUAAUUAUUAAUAGGUGGCAUUUUUUUGGUCAUAUAAAAUAAACCGAAAUUUUUAAUAGGGAAAACGGUUUCCAUUAGCCAACAAUGGCAACUCUGGGCCAUUUGGCUACCAGCAUAGUUACGAACGAGACACUUUUGAAACGGAGGAUAAAGUUGCUCUAUAUCAAAUGCAUUAUGAGAAUACGUGUCCCUUUGCCAUAUUCGUUGUUGUUGUUUGUUUCUGAGUUUGAUUUUGUGGUAUGGAUAGUUGGAGGCAUCAACAAAUCAGGAGCUGAAUCAGAGAAUACCAUUGUUCAAUCUGCAACCAAAGAUCCUUUGUCGCGUUCUUCACAUUCAACUUCUGGUAAUUAGCUGUACUUUCACCGUUUUCUUGUUUUAGUUAAACAGUAAUGUUUCUAUGUAUUAGGUUCAUGCAUAUAUAAACUACUAAAAAAAAACAAGAAUUAGCAACAAACAAAUUUUGUAGUUGAACUACAAUCAAAUAAUUUUGUUAGCUACGAGCUAUUUAGACGUAGAUUAGCGACGAAGUUCGUAUAGCUAAUUCUAGGUUAUUUCUGAAGAAAAAAGAAGUUAUAAUGAGGACUUUCUCAUUGAAAAUUCGUUGUAGGCUGAGCAAGAUACUGAUGAGGUUUAUGCGAAGAUUGCUUUGUUGCCCGAAGCAGAUGUAAGAACUUAAAGAACCUACUUUCUUGCUUGUAUGAAACUCUGUUGUGUUCACUUGGUCUUUUAUGUUCUGUUGGCCAAUUUUCCUAUAAUUGCUUUCAUCCAAUUUAGCAAGUUGAGCCGACUAGUCCUGAUCCGUCCCUGCCCGAGCCUCCGAGGCCCAAAGUUCAUUUCUUCUGCAAGGUUCUAACUGCAUCUGAUACGAGCACUCACGGUGGAUUUUCCAUUCUCAGGAAACAUGCUAAUGAAUGCCUACCUCCCCUGGUAAUAUAUUUGAUCCUUUGUUGUUACAUUCUAUAGUCUGUCCAUUUUGAGAAAAUGAUGCAUUACCUGUCGAUUUUGUGAUGCUAUAUUUUUUAAUGCAGGACAUGAACCAAACGACUCCAGCACAGGAAUUGGUCGCCAAGGACCUUCAUGGCUUCGAGUGGCACUUUAAACAUAUAUUUAGAGGUAAUUAUUUGACAACUCGUAGUGUCCAAUUUGGUUUGACAACAACAAAAAGAUGAUAGCGAUGACACUUUAUCAAUUUGUUAUAUGGCCCAAGUGCUCACUCUUGAUUCUUGACUAACAGGCCAACCCCGGAGGCAUUUACUUACCACAGGGUGGAGUACCUUUGUUUCCUCGAAGAGAUUAGUUACGGGGGAUUCUUUUGUAUUCUUGAGGUUUAUAUCUGGUGCUUAUUUGUCUAUUGCGCUUUAAAUCUAUCAUAUUCAUCACUAUUUAUUCAUUAUGUUGUGCAAAUAUGUCGUGUUUAGGAGGGACAAAGGUGAAGUCCGAAUAGGAAUUAGACGACUUGCUCGCCAACCGAGCUCAAUGCCACAAUCAGUGAUUUCAAAUCAGAGCAUGCACCUAGGAGUGUUAGCUACUGCAUCUCAUGCUGUGACGACCCAGACUAUGUUUGUUGUUUAUUACAAACCGAGGUUUCUCUUAUGCAUCUCUUUUCUUAAAAGAUUGAACUUUAGAUGUCAAGGGGAGCCUUGGCGCAACUGGUAAAAUUGUUACCAUGUGACCAAGAGGUCAUGGAUUCAAGCUGUGGAAACAACCUCUUGCAGAAAUGCAGGGUAAGGCUGCAUACAAUAGACUCUUGUGGUCCGGCACUUCCCUGGACCUCUCGCAUAGCGGGAGCUUAAUGCACCGGGCUGCCCUUAUUAUGUCCUUUCAGCAAUGUUGAAAUUAGUUUGUUUUUUUUUGGGUGAGAAUAUGCUAAAUGUUGCCUAUGUUCUCAAUAUUGUGUGUGGAAAAUCUUCAGAACAAGUCAGUUUAUCGUAGGCCUAAACAAAUAUCUUGAGGCUGUUAAGCAUCGGUAUUCAGUUGGCAUGAGAUUCAAGAUGAAUUUUGAAGGGGAAGAGAUUCCUGAGAAAAGGUGGUAAAACAUCAACUUUAUUGAAGCUCGAAUUAACGAGAUGUUUCUCUACCGUAUAAAGUUUCUCAAUAUACUGCAUUUCUGAUCUCUAUUUUCUUUUUUCUUCGGUUGUUCCUUCGUAAUUUCCCAGAUUUACAGGUACCAUAGUAGGAGUUGAAGAUAGUUCCUCACAGUGGAAAGAUUCAAAAUGGCGAUCAUUGAAGGUGGAUAUAAUUUGGUUGUUGUCGACAUUGAAUGAAUCAAUACAUUUGGAUUGAUGUAAAAUUUCAUUAUUUUUCUUCCAUCUUUCCAGGUUCAAUGGGAUGAGCCUGCAUCUGUUUCAAGACCUGACAGAGUUUCUCCUUGGGACAUCGAACCAUUUGUGGCGUCAGUCGCUACUCCUCUCGUUCCACCAAUGGGGGUGAAGAAUAAAAGGCAUCGAGCACAUAACGAACCCAAAACUUCAGGUGGAAACAAGCAUAUUCAUAUUCCAUGGCAUGUUUUUUUAGUCAUCCUAUUUAGUUUUCUAUUUUCAUUUUCUUGAUUAUUAUUCCGUUAUUUUCCUGCUAGAACCUGUCCCUGCAGCUGCACUAGCCGCUUGGAUUCCUUCAACGCAAUUUAACCCCGUUAUUGAAGGACAAAGUAGUGAUAAUCCAUUUUCUUUGCAUACUUCACAAACACAUUCAACUACCAACAGUACUUUUAAGGUUCAUGAAGAUGGAAUUUGGUCAGCUUCUAAAGUAAGUGCUUCUUUGAAUAUGCUUUUGGAUGAGACAGAAGGCAGUAAAAGUGCUUCACCUCGGCCUGCUUUUCCAAGCUUUGCGUCCUCACAAUUCGGAAAGCAGAACGAUCUCCUGCUUCCUUGCCUAGACGAUGAGAGAAAACGUGAUACAAUUACAUCCUGUAGAUUGUUUGGUAUUGACUUGAAAUCCCCCUCAUUUGGUUCUGUUAAUGAGAAUCCGCCUCUAGAACCAGCCAACAAUUCCGAUGGCUCUGCUGAAGGGUGCUCUGGAAACACGACUUCUGCUGGUGAUUCAGAAGACAACUCUGGCCUUUCAAGAGAUUCCGAAGAUCAGAAGCAAGAGCAGCUGAAUCUGCCACCAAAGGAGGUUCACAUCAAGCAGAUUUCUUCCACCAGAACUCGCACCAAGGUAUGAAAACCAAAACGAGAAAGUAAAUUGUGUUUUUCCAUGUUCGUUACUACUCCAAAGACGUCAAUAGAAAUAAAAAUACUUUUUUAGCUUACAUGAAUUCCUUGAGAAGGUUCAAAUGCAAGGCGUAGCUGUGGGACGUGCUGUGGAUUUAACAAAACUGAGUGGAUACGAUGAGCUCCUAAAGGAACUCGAAGAGAUGUUCGAUAUCCAGGAAGAGCUCCACACACGAAAUAAAUGGGAGAUCGUUUUUACAGACGAUGAAGGUGAUAUGAUGCUUAUGGGCGAUUAUCCUUGGCCGUAAGUGUUUCUUUCUCCAUUUACAACUUAAAAUUAAAAGUAUGUAGCUCAUAUGCGAAUCCAGGAUUUGAGGUUUAUGAGUUCCUACAACGACCUCAAGUUAAUAUAUAAAAAUAACUGGGUUCCUACAACGACCUCAAGUUAAUUUCUUAAUACGUAUAAUACAUGUGAUCCAUAAACUCAUAAGCUAGCUCUGCCCGUGAAUUAUAAUAUAGCUACAUGUAAGAUCUCUCAUACUUUGCAUAUCAUAAUAUGGUGCUCAAUUAUUCACAGAGAGUUCUGCAACAUCGCGAAGAGGAUCUUCAUUUGUUCUAGUCAAGACAUGAAAAGUUUCAGUGCAAGAACCAAAUCGCCGUCUUGUUUAGAAAGUGAAACAACUACUUCAACAUGAAAACCGCUCAUAAGCUACACUACUUACAUCUGUCAGGAGCGAAGACUCCAUUUCGUCCUUGAUCGUGUUUUCCCAAUUGUGACCUUCAUUUCUUAAAAAGUUUCGGCCUUGUUGACUGCCAACAGGUAUCUGCAAUCUUCAAUAAUAACGCUUAGAUUAUGAGACUCUAUGUCGUCUUGUUGAAUAAGCUUGACAACAAGCAAAUAGUUGAAUCUUUUUUCAUCAUUUAGUGGAGUUAGUAUUAGAAGCUUGUGUAUAUGUAAUUUAAUGAUUCUGGUGGAGGUUUGGUUGUUGUAUCUCUGUAGUUGUACUUACUCAAGUGGGGUUGUUGCAACAGGAAAAACUUACUUACAUCUAGUGUUUAUGUAAAAUCAAUAAGUAUAUGAGGCGUAUAUUCUAUAUAUACGCGUUUAUCGCUUAAAUUUGUUUGAUUUAAAUGCAUUCUCACCUCAUUUUGUCACUUAACAAUUGCAUAUUCAUAUGGUUUGGUUGGGUUUUAAAGGUAUGAAUAGGAAAUGAAGAGUUGUGACUUUGCCGAAGGGUUGUGACCUCAAUGAAAAGUUGUGUCUUUUCUAAAGGGUUGUGCCUUUUUCAAAGGGUUAUGACCUUUCUUAAAGGUAGUCCUUUUUUCAAAAACUUGUGAUCUUUUACCAUUUGUUGGCUAUAAAUAGAAAGUUUUUCUCUCAUUUUUCAGCAUUGAAUUCUUCCCUUCUUCUGCAUACAUUUCUUACAAACAAAAUCGAUCGUGUAUGUGAUUCGUUGCUAUCUUUUUGAGUUCGUUGAAAUUAUCGAAGUUUGAGGUGCCACUAUUUCUUUAAUGGUUAAUCCAUUUUAUCUUGGGAGGAAUUAAUCUAUAACCUCGGGUACUUGAGGGGAUUAAAUUUCUUAAGGAUACAUAGUGGGUUCUAUGAACUCGGAUAGUUCCUUUCUUUUUCUUUUCAUAUUUUUAUUAAACAUUGUAUGCGGAUGAAUAUUUAACAUAUUUUCAUCUUUAUCAUUCUUCCGAGUUUACCAUGAUACAAUACUUAUUAUUUUAGGGGUCGUUUGGUAGAGUGUAUAAAAAUAAUGCUCAAUAGAGUGUAUUAGUAAUGUUUGUAUUAGUUAUACUUGCAUUAGUUAUGCAUAAAUUAUUUCUUAUGCAUUGUUUGGUUUGUUGUAUUAAAAAUAGUAUGCAAUUGUAUAAAAAUAUUUAUUUACAAAAGUAUCCUUCACAAUUAUAGUGGAAAAGAUGUAAAAGUGCUUUUGAGGGGUAAUUGAGUCUUUAACCAUGAUAAUACAUGUAUUAAUUAAAUCCUUUGCAUUGCUAAUACCUAGAAAUCUGAUAUUAGUAAUACACUCCUCAAUACACAAUAGAGUGUAUAUCAUUAGUUAUACAUAGCAUGAAAAAAUACACCAAAUAAGGGAUUACUACUAAUACAUAUAGUUAAUGCAUACAUUAUUUUUGCUAAUACAUUCUACCAAACGAUUUAAGUUUUAUGCAACGAUAGGGCAUAAUAUAAACACCAUCAAGUCAUUUAAAAGGUAAUUGUAACUAAUAACACAAAUCGUUUAAUUAAUAAUAUUGAUUUGUUUUGCUUAGAAUAAAUGGGAGUAGGAAUUAUUAGUAACAUGCUAUAUAUAUAUAUAUAUGCUAUUUCUGGUUAAAAGCCAAGAACGUAUAUGUAUAAUUGGUCUGAGAGAUUUUGUCAUCCAUGGUGAAAUAUAUAGAGUACGAAAAAAUUGACUUAAUGUAGAUGAUAAUGUGAAUUUACGAGGAUACAAGAUUAGAUAAGAUUAUUGGUCAGUAUAUCAACCAAAAAAAAAUUAAAAAUAAAAUAAUAUAUAUAUAUAUAUAAACAGCAUACAUUAAGAGUAAAAUAGAAAAAAAUAACUUGAGAUGAUUUAAUCAUAUAGUGUGAACUCAUGCAUGACUAUCACUUGCACCAGUCUUGAAGUCAUGCAUGAUUUAAUUCUGGCCGUUACGUUGCCUAUUACAUCACAAAAAUUAUUUUAUUAUUUUACAUGAGUUUUCAUUUGUUUUACUUAUUUGGUGACUCGAAUUUCUAAUUUUCAGGACAGAAAUAAAGCUAAGUAUGAUCCGAACAAAUCCAUCUUAUUUAAUCUAUGAGAACUCACAUCGUGAACUUCAAAUUAUUUUAUCAGAUGCAUAAUUAUUACUGUUAUUAUGAUAUACAUAACAUUAUAACUUUUUGAUGAAGACGGUUCAACUGAUCAUUAAUGGUAUCUCCAAGCCUCUACCUACUACUUAUGACUUAAUUAUGAGUACUAUUUUUCGUAAGAGCUCCUAUAAAUAGUAGGACUUCUCAAACUCAUAUUACAUCGAUCUAAAUUAAUUUAUCGAUCUUCUUUGAACAUUCCUAUCUAAAAUCAUAUAAAGUAUAGCACCACAACAAAUGGAAACUGCCGCUGCCGCCGCCACCGCGACUACCGUUAAUGGUCCUUAUAACUCCUUCAAAAUCAUGCAUAAACGUAUGUACCUCAACCGUGCAUUUGCUCUUAUUUACAUCUUUGCCAUUUUGGCUCUCUUUUAUCACCAUAUAAUAAAAAUAUUUAAUUAUCAUUCCAUGUUAAUUACCAUAAUUACCCUCUUCAUGUUAAUUUCUGACAUAAUCUUAGCUUUUAUGUGGUUCACUUCUCAGUCUUUCCGCACGCGCCCUAUAGCGAGUGAACAAUUCCCCGAAAUGCUCGAAAAAUUUGAGGAUGAUUUCCCCGUGCUUGAUGUUUUUAUAUGUACGGCGGAUCCGUACAGGGAGCCACCAGGUAAUUUAGCCAACACGAUUCUGUCCGUGUUGGCGUAUGAUUACCCGACAGAGAAGCUCUCGAUUUACGUGUCGGAUGAUGGUGAAUCGGAGCUUACUCUGUUCGCUCUCGCGGAGGCCGCGAGAUUUGGUGUACACUGGUUGCCGUUUUGCAGGGAAAAUGGAGUAGUGGAAAGGUGUCCAGAUGCAUAUUUCAGUUCUGAUAAUUAUGCAGAAAAUUCCCAAUUGCAUAAAAUUAAGGUAUUUUAUAAUUGUUGCGUUUCAAUUUGUUUAUCAUAAUUUGACUUGCGGCAAAGUUCAGAAAAGCAACGAAGACUUUUAAAAUUUGUAACUUUAAAUAUGUUACCCCUAUAACAUUGUUCGAUCAUAAAAAGGCUAAGGCACAAGUACCUCUAGACUAGAUCGAAAUUCCAUAGAUGCACUUUAUGCAAACACAUGCAUGUUUUUGUAAUUUUGAAUAUAUUUUUGGAUUAUGUGGCAUCCAAACAUCUUCCACGCGUCUCAACUGCAUGGAGUCAUGGAGUGUGCCAUGUAAGUCAAAAGGUGUAUAAAAUUAUUUAAAAAAAUGAGUUCGGGAUAAUAGAACCUUAAUUUAAUUAAGAUGUAUUUCUGAAAUUUCGAUUAUAGUCUAGGAGUACUUGUGCCUUAUCUCAUUAUUAAAUAUAUGAAACUUAUGAUCUUAAAAUAUCAUAAGUAAAAUUUAUGAGAAGAUAAAAAAAAACAUAAAUCAAUUAUAUAUCAUUCUUUCUGAAACAAAUUAAUCUAACCGGAGCACGUAAUAUUCCACCUUUCCUUUCCCCUAAUAGUAAAAAAAGUAUAUGUAGAAGUAGUUUGUUUGGUUCAUUCAUUACUUGCCAUACAUAAGCAAUAAUUGAACUUUAAAUAAUAUCUUUUUUUUAAUAUUGAUAUGAUAGUAUAUAAUAUAUUUUUUACAUUAUUAAUAUAUAUUAAUUGAACUUAAAAUAAUAUAUAUGAGCAAUAAUUAUUUUUGUAUAUAUCCAUGUGACCAUGCAGUUGAUGUAUGAAAUCAUGAUUACUAGAAUAAAUAAUGUGGUGGAGAGAGGAAAAGUAAACGAAGAGCAUAUUAGCAAUGAGGAUGAGCAAGAAGCUUAUAGCAAAUAUUCAUCUGAUGGAUUUACUCCCCAUCAUCAUCCCUCUAUUAUUCAGGUUUGUGUAUUUUUUAAUCGAGAGUUUAUUGAAAAUAAUUUUCUAUUUAUGUAUAAGAUAGCUAGGAAUAAGAUCGAUCUGUGUAUAUCUUAUUUUUUUCGGACCUCACUUUAUAAAAUCAUAAAUAAUAUGUUGUUGUUGUCGUUGAGGACAAAACUAAAGUUUUAAUAAUGGGUUCGACAAAGUUUAAUAUUUUUGGCCAAAAUUCUAUAAGUGAGUUAUCAAUUGCUUAAUAUACAUAUGUAUACAUAACUUAUGCAUAACAAUAAGUUAUAAUUUUUAGAAUUUAGAACUCAUAAAUUAAUCAAACUUUUGAAUUCAUAUUUGAUUUGUGGUAGCUAUAUAUAGUAGAUGAAGUCACUAUUUUAUAAUGAGUUUAGGUUUUAUACACUCACAUAUAAGAAGAUCUAAUUUGUACAAUGUAUUAAACUUAUAAGCAUUGGCAUGUAAAAAGUGUCUAUGUAUUUUGGUCAAUUUCAAGCUACAACGCUGAACUCGUGAUUUGUAAUUUACGGUUUCUGAAUUAUACUUUCUUUUGGUUUACUUGAUUCUAGAUAGAUUAUAAUCUAUACGUAUGAUAUGAAUUUUAGUUAAAAACAUAAAGUUUGAAUAAAAAAUAUUAAAUUUUGUUGAACUCGUAUAACUUUAAGGUUGGCUCCAAUCCUAUUUGGUUGUUUAUGAGUCCUAGUGGCGGCUCAACCUAAUCAGUGAUUUAAAGCUAAAAAAAAAUCGGAGGUCUAAUUUUUAAUUUUUAAUUUUAUUUCUGAGAUUCAAUUUUUUUUCUUUCUUUUUAAUAAAAAAAAUAUUAUUUUUUCUAUGUUCUUAAACUAAAGAUUUAUAUAUAUAUAUAUACCAAAAUAUUUUUUAAUCUUAUGGUCUUAAACAUAUCAUAUGGAAGUUAAAUUAAAAAAUUGACCCAAAAAAAGAAACAUUCUAUAAUGUUUCAAAAAAAACUAAAAAGACAAAUAAAUUUUAAAAUAUAGUAUUUUUUUUGGUUAAAAAGGCUUAUAAUAAUUUUAGUAAAAAUUAUACGAGUCUCAUAGUGUAAGGAGCAAAUUACAUCAUAUCCCUACUCCUUUCCAAUUUACAAAAAUUUCCUAAAAUUGUUGUCAUCCGGAUACAUCACGUUUGAUACAUUAUACAACUAGUUUAUUGGGAUUAAAAAGGAAAUUAAAUAUAAAAUUAAAUGUCAUUUUUCCAAAUCAUGCAAAUCAAAUUGAUGUCAAUCUCUCCCAAAUAACAACUCCAAACAAUUCAAAUUUCAAUUUUUCUUCUCUAAAAUCUCUCCCAAAUCGUAACAGAUUAAAAAAAAAAGACGACAAUUAUAUAUAGUUAUGUAUCAUAUAUAAAAAAACUAUGAAUAUGAUAUACACUGAUUUAGUUUUAAAACAGUGUUGCACAUACAUCACAACAUCUAAUACAUAACUAUGCUAUAUACAUAACAAAAUUAUGUGGCUUAUACAUAACUAUGAAUAUGAUACAAACUGAUUUUGUUAUAAAAUAUUAGUGUUUAUGUAUCAACAAUAAUAUACGAUAGUGUCUACAUAUACAUAGCAUUCUAGUUGAAUAAGACUGGGUGUAUGUAUCUGGUAGUAAAAGACAACGAAUUUUGUAAUAGUUGUGUAUCCAAUACAUAACUAUGAACGUGAUACAUGCUAAUGUGUGUUUCAAUAAAUUAGGGUUAUGUAUAAAAACUAAAAUUUGAAAACGUACGAUAUAUUGUACAUGAUAAAAUUGGAAUGUAUCAUAAAGUUGAAACGAAUGAAUUAUACAUUUAAAAUCAACUAAAUACAUUAAAAGAUCUGCUGAAAGCAAUAAAAAAAUCAAUAAUUUGAUCUGCUAAAGGCAGAAAAAAAAGAUGAUGAAGAAAUCGUUACACACUUUCUCCUUUGCUCUUAUCAACUCUUGUAGUUUUUUUUUCACUUUCAACAUGUCACCCAUGGAUCUCGACCCAAAGUCAUUACCGAAAUCAACCAAUAACUUUUGAUAAAAUUGUAAUGUAUCAUAACGUUGACACGAAGACAUUAUACAUUAAUUUAAGAUACAAAAACAACUAGAUACAUUAAAAAUUGAACCCAUAUGUACCAGAAAAAGGUAAUCAAUAAAAAAUAAAAAAAAGUCAACAAUUUGAUCUACUAAAAGCAAAAAAAAUAAUGAAGAAAUGUUUCUACAACUUCUAUUUUGCUCUGUAUCAACUCCCAUAAUUUAUUUAUUUUCACUUUCAACAGUGGCGUCACCCAUGAAUCUCGAUUCAAAGCCCUUAUCGGAGCCCCAACAACUCGACCUCCCCCCCCCUCCCUUUUUGGCAUUUUUUUCGACAAUCGAUUUUGAAGUUGAAGAUGCAUCCUUCUUCGACUAAAUUCAAAUUUUGUAGAUGAAAAGGCUAAAAAAAAUUGAUGCAUGGAGAAGUGGAAAGAAAAAUAUGGAUGAAGAAGAACUACCUCUUCAAUAACUUGCAGCGAUAAAUCGAAAAGAGAAAAAAAUUGAAAUUAAAAAAUAGAGUGAUAAAGAUAAUUGGUGAUACCAUGAAGUGAUUUUAGGCGUGAAAAAAAAGAAGAAAAAAAUAGGGUGAUGUGUAGUUUUGUAAUUUUUUGAAAUGAUAGAGAAUAAUAAAAAAUAGGGUACAAAGGAUGUGUAGUUAGAUAAUUUAUUCAUAAUUUUAUUAUUACAAAAAAAUUGGGCCCUUCGAAUUUGAAGGCUUAAAACGUAUACCUCCUUUUAAAAGGCAUAGAGUCGCCACUGAUGAGGUCAGGUAUAUUACACAUAUAUAAUAUAACUUGGUAGUGAAUAGUGAUUGUAUAUAAUCCUUUCGUAAUAUAACUCACUCUCCUUUUUACCCAAAAUUCUUCAAGCAGGUUUUAUUGGCAAACAACAAAGACAAAGACAUUACAAAUGUUUUUAUGCCAAAUCUUGUCUAUAUUUCCAGGCAGAAAAGCAAAACUUCCCCUCACCAUUUCAAAGCAGGGGCACUUAAUGUUCUGGUAAGCCAGUAUCUUAAAAUUUGAGGUGGGCCCGAUUUUCAGUCUCUGUAAUUGAAAAAUAGUCGUAGUCCUAAAGUUUUGAAUUCCACAAAAUGAAACUCAAAGAUAAUGUCACGUAGUUUCACUUGUGUAAUUUGAAAUUUCAUAACACUGACUAUUUUUCAAGAAUAUGAACUGAAAAAUGAUCGGUGGACGCUAUUUAAUUUCUACUAAUAUUUGACAUUUGUUGCCUUUAACAUACACAUACAAUUGUGAGGUGCUAGAAUUUUCUCAUUUAAAGAUAAACUAAGAAGUUUAAAGUUAAAUUAUUUUAAGAUAUAGUUAUUCCAAUUUGAUGAUUAAUAAGGAAAUAAUGUCGCACAAACUGAUACGAUGAGACUAUUUUUUUUUCUUUUUUUCCCCUUGUUAAAUGAAUUUAUGCUCAAUAUGAAUACUUAUUGAAAAUUGAUUUAAAUUAUUUUUUGUUAUUAUUUUAAUUUUUGAAGCUUCGAGUAUCGGGUAUCAUGACAAAUGGGCCUAUAAUCUUGACAUUGGACUGUGACAUGUACUCCAAUGAUCCAUCAACUCCUAAACGGGCUUUAUAUUACUUCUUGGACCAAUCUAUCUGGCCCAAUUUAGCAUUUGUUCAAUCACCGCAGCGAUUUCAUGGUCUUAAUUGGGCCGAUAUCUAUGCAAGUGAGUUUAAAGCUCUGGCCCAUGCGAAUCCAAUGGGCAUGGAUGGGCUUUGUGGCCCAAAUUAUAUGGGUACCGGGUGCUUUUUCAAACGCCGGGCUUUCUUUGGUGGGCCGUCAUCGUUCGAGCAACAAGAAAUGAUUCAAGAUCAUGUUGUGAACAAGCCCAUUGAGGCCCAAACUAUUCUAGAGCAAGCUCACCAAAUGGCAAGUGUCAACUAUGAGAACCAAACUAAUUGGGGUUCUCAAGGUAUGUUGUACAAGUCUUAGUUCUUUUUCUCUUUCAUCAUAAGGUGAGUUUAGAAUUUGAACUAUAUAAGUUCGAGUUCAGAAUUCUACUACAACUCAUGAUUUAUUAGAUUCAAAAUUUAGUUAUUUGUAUUGGUUGUAUACAGGAUCUGAAUAAAAAAUAUGAGUUUGAAUGAAUCCAUACCUUAUCCUCUACGCCGCCCCUAGUUGAAAAAGGUGUCGCUAAGUGGUUAGGGGGUAAAUUUUAGAAAUAGCCACCUACAUACUCAAUUAUUGAAAUAUAGCCAUUGUCCUAGAGUUUUGACAUUGCACAAGUGAAACUCUGGACAAUUAUUGUUUUUAAAAAAAUCGGGAUUCUACAUAUUGGUAGCUUUGAGUUAAAUUCAAACGUUUGAGGUGAUAAUAUUUACAGAAUGUUGAAUAUCUUCACUCUCAAUAGUUACAUACAAGUCUAUAAAAUAUAGAAAGGCAAAAUGCCUAUGACGUGUAUGUGUUGGAUGAACCAAAUCCAGUCGAAAAAGUGGUCAUUGAACACUAUUUACAAUGGCUAGGAGGAGGCCAAUAGUCAAAUAUGACCUAACCUCAUAGUAUCGUAGUUUGAAUUAUGACCUCUUGACUAUUCCACGAUCACAACGAAACAAGUCUUUACACUUCUUAGCAUAGCAAAAAACACAAAAAAAAUUGUUGUGGACAAUACUAACAACCAAAAGAUAUGCAGAUGGGCUUUAGAUAUGGAUCAUUGGUGGAGGACAUUUACACUGGUUAUCAACUUCAUUGUGAAGGUUGGAAAUCAAUAUUUUGCAACCCUAAAAGGCCAGCAUUUUUAGGACAUGUACCUCUAUCACUCAAUGAGGUGCUAAUUCAAAUGAAGAGAUGGGCUGUGGGCCUCCUUGAAGUGGCUUUAUAAAAAAACAGCCCAAUUACAUUUGGUAUGGGGCAUUUGGGCCCAAUAAUGGCCCAAUGUUACAUUCACUAUACAUUUUGGCCCAUUCACUCCAUACCCAUUACUAUCUAUGCUUUGCUUCCUCAACUCACUCUUCUAAGUGGAGUUCCCAUUUUCCCAAAGGUAUCUCUUGAUAUGUCUACUCUGUUUUUUUUUUGGAGAUAUCAUUUUUGGUAUAAAUUUGAUAUUUGACUAGAUAAAUUUAACUUUUAAUAAAUUAAAAUGUGUGUUUUAGUCUCAUUAGUAUGUUGCAUUUAGACUCUUUUUAGAACUAUAUUACCAUCAAACGUGAAAUAAUAAUACAGGUGGCUUAACAUAAUGUACGAGUAAUUGCAUAUUGAAACGGAUAAUAAUUAUGAUAAAUUUGUGAACAAAAGUGUACAUUUCAAUUAAUUGAAGGUUAAAUGUGUUUAAUCAGAUAUCAGAAGGAAUAAAAUAAGAAUUUACCAAUCACUCAAGGACCAAAAGUGCUAUUAAUGCUUCUUCUUUUUAUACUAAUCAUGAUAUUAGAUCUUCAUAAGAACUAUUAUAAGUGUUGUAAAAUAUGAUUUCAUUAGCUCACAUUUUUGUAUAAUAUUGUUUUCAGAUCUCUAGUCCAUGGUCUUUGUUGCAUAUUUUUCUAUUUCUUGGAGCAUACAUGCAAGAUUAUUGCUUAAAUUUUGCAUCAACGUCACAAGGAUCGUUACGAAGGUGGUGGAGUGACCAAAGAAUGUGGAUUAUAAGGGGGUUAUCAUCCUUUCCUGUUGGAAUUAUCGAGUACUUAAUGAAACGUAUGGGUAUAGUCACUCAGAAAUUCAACGUAACAAGCAAAGUAGUCGAUCAUGAUCAAGUUACAAGAUACAAUCGAGGAAUUAUCGAGUUUGGAGUUGCUUCCCCUAUGUUUGUGCCUUUAGUAACAACAUCAAUGGUCAAUUUAAUGGCAUUAGUCAAAGCAUUGGUGAGUUAUUACAAAGGGGAAAACUUUGAUGGAUUAUUUCUCAACACUCUUAUUGCUUGUUUUGGAGUAGUAAAUUGUUUGCCAAUAUAUGAAGCUAUGGUUUUAAGAGUUGAUAAAGGAAGAAUGCCCACCAAAAUUACUAUCAUCUCUACAUUUUUAGCUUUGUGUCUUUACAUAAUUUGUUUAUUUCUUGUGGGACAUAUGUAACAUUAUAUUAUGCUCAAGUCUUUUUACUAUAGUUUUUUUUACCUAUGUUUAGUGUUUGUAACAUCAAUAAAAUGGACUAGUUUUUACCAAAUAAAUUCAAUGUUACAUGGUCUAAUUCUAAUAAUAGGAAUUAGCGAUGGAUAACUUUUGUCUCUAAACAACAAUGAACUAGCUAGUUAGCGAAGAUUUUUUUUAGCUAACGUCUAUCUCAAGGAGCGUGCAAUAACACAAUCAAUAGGUGAACCUUUCCUCGCACUUUAAAGAGAAGGGUAUUGAUAAUAUAUAUUUAAUUUCAUUGUUAAAUAUUUACUCUCUAUCUGACUUGAAAAGAUGGUUCGUAAGCUCUCCCUCUUGAAAACUAGCUAAUCAAAGGGGGGGGGGGGACAUUUUUUCCAUUUUACUUUUUUGAAAGCUACUUCCAUAUCCCCCAAAAUUUAAAACUAUCCAUGUAAGGGUAUAUUAUAUAGUUCCAUAUUUGCACAUCCCCUAUUAUUAAUGCUUUUCUAUUAAUGGUUUUUUUAAUUAAUAUAGAUAAUGCUAGCAUAUCUCAAUACUUUAAUGUUUCACUAGAUUGAGAAAAUUUAUCUACCUUAGCUAGUUCUCACUCCACAUGAACCUAUACUACAAUUUUUUUAGUGGAAACUAAAGAUCACCAAUUAUAUAUACACAUUUGGUUGACUAUUGAAAUAUAUUGCUAAAAAAAAUAUAUUGCUAAAAAGAUUAUUAUAAUUUAUACUGUUCGUUUCAAUUUAUGUGUCACCGUUUGACCAGGUAGAAAAUUUAAGAAAGAAAGAAAAAUAGACUUUAUUUUUUAUUUUUGUGGUUUAAAAAAAGGACAAAUUACUUAACUACACUCCUUUACUUACCUUAAUAUCCAUUUAUCCCUACUUAUUUCAAAAUUUCAAAAUCCCUUAUUUACUUAUGUCUCCCGCUAUGUGGAAUGUAUCAAACGCUAUGUAUCCCGUGCACAAUGCUAUGUAUCCCGCAUGUAUCCCGUGCACAACGCUAUGUAUCCCGCUAUGUGGAAUGUAUCAAACCUAAUGUAUCCCGUGCACAACGCUAUGUAUCCCGCAACCAUCAUUUUUAAGGGAUUUUUGGUAAAUAGAAAACUAGAAGGGAUAGGAUGUUAUUUAGUACUUAUAAUAUGUGGUUCCUAUAAUUUAUACUUAAAAAAAACCUUAAUUAGAUAUUUGUUUUGACCGUAAAUUAUUUCAUUAAGGGUUAAAGAAUUUUUUUAAAAUUAAGUUAUUUCUAAUUAGAGAAAAAUAACAUUCAUUCCGAAGUAGUCUAAGAAAGAAAAACAUGUCAUAUAAAUUUGAACGAGUAAGUAUUAUUUUUCUUUAUAGUGUUCUACUGAUGUGGUAUACCACUAAUUAACCCUUAGAUUAUCCAUAAUCAACUACCAACUGGUUUAAUUUUUACAUGUAUUUUAUUAUAUGUAAUUGAUGGAUCUUGUUUUUAAAGUUGAAGAUCACACGAUGAUCUCAUCAAUAGCUUACGUAGCCAAAAGAUAUAUAUAUAUAUAUAUAUAUAUAUAUAUAUGCAGUAAUUUUAAUUACACUAAACAUUGAAAACCCAACUACAUCAUAAUCUUAAUUAAGAGACAUUGAGAUCAUCUUUUGAAAUUUUAUUUUGAUAUUCAAAGUGGUGAUGUAUAUAAUUAAAGAAGAUAUCUAUUUAAAGUAGUUAAUUUAUUUAUGUAAUAUGCAUUUGAGAAUACGUCAAUUUUAUUUUUUUUUAAAAAUGAAUAGAAAAUGUUCAAUAGAAAACACUUUAUUGUAUAAUCCGUAUACAAAUAAUUAAUUGAAACAAAUUAUAAUUCGAGUGUUUAAGUGAAAUUUAAUAUUUUCAAGUUCAAGGAACUGUAUAUAUGUAUUAAGCCAACAUAAAAUGAUCCAUAUUUAUACAUCAAAUAUUCUUAGCAAGUAUUGUGCCUUUUUUUUUUUUUUGAAAAAAAUGCUGUGCAAUUUUUUAUACUUCAAUUAAUAAUAAUUUGCUUUCUUCAUAGGGAAGUUAGGAUAUUUUUUCUUUAAUUUCUCAAAGUUGAUGGUUGCCAAUUUGAUCACCAUCACUUAUUCUUUUGUGGUAACAUAUUCCUAAUCUCCUUAAGGUGGACCAAGCUAUUUUUUUACAUUAAAAAAUGUCCUUAAAUGUGAUGGCCAUAUGUGUAAAUAUUUAUGCUAAAAUCAUCCAAGAACAUGUUUGAUUUUAUUACAAAAAUUGGAGUCAAAUAUUUUAAAAUAUUCUUGAAUAUAAGAAUAUGAUUUACUUUUUUUGGUGGUUUCUAAAUUUUUAUUCUUAGAAAUUAUAGAUGUGAGAAGUCAACUCUCGGAGGAUCAGUUGAUGUUAAAUAAUUAUUUUAUCGUAUGUUUACGUUGAUUCAAUAAAUUUAAUUUUAAUUAACCAAAAUUUAAAUAAGAAUAUGUCUUAUAUUUAUUGGCGGAAUAUAAAUAUUUGAUGCGAGUAAAUUUUAUCGAGUUAAAUUUUAAGACAUAUAUAUUUAGUGGUCCCUUGUGUUUUAGACAAUAUCACCUUUGAGAAAAGAAAUAGAAAAGGACAACAUAUGCAUUCAGUAAAUGCUUUUUAUUUUUUUCUAAAAUACAUAAAACUUCUUGGAUAUUAAGGAUGUAUUAUACUUUCUUUUUUCUUUGUAAUAAUCUUUUUUUAAAAGAAAAAUAAAAAAAUUCAAAAGAAUAUGCUUCUUUAUUCAUUCACUAACAAAUAGAAUAAAGAUACGUAAAUGUGUCUUUUAAGUUGAUCUCAACUGACAUCUAUGCCAUUUACUUUAGAUGUGCAUAAGUAGAUAUUUAUGUAUUAUGCCCAAAUAAAAAAGUCACAAAUUUUAUGUACACACGUAUAACCUAUAGGAAAUUGUUCAUUUUAAGAGAUCUCAUGUAUUGGUCUUUGAAAAAAGAUGAAUAGACAUCGAGCAGAGUUAGAAAUCGACAUAUGAAUUCAACCAAAUUCAGUAGUCUUAUUAGUUUAAAAUGUAAAUUUUAUAUUAAUUAUAAAAGAACAUUCAAUGUGUACACAAGUUAAAUUCAGAAUAUUAUAAUCUACAUUUUUAAGUACACAUAAUAAUUAUCUAAUGGUUAGGAAGAUAAUGGUGGCAAUGAUAGAUGAUUAAGACAAAGGCUAAUUAGUUGGAAAGGACUAAGCAACUAAAUGCCAAACAAAAAGGGAGCAUAUUUUAUAAUAAUAUGGAACCAAUUGUGCCAGAUUUUAUGGGUGAUCAAACUCUAAAAUAUAAUGUUAGUUCUAUAUGAAAAUAGUUAAGAGCCUGCUUAACAUUAUUGUUGGAAGCUCAAAAAUAUUUAUUUUUUUAAAAAUUAGAUAUUUGGCAAAUCUGUAAAACUGCUUUUAAAUGGAAGCAGAAGCAAUUUUUCUGCUGUUGGGAAGAAGCUAAAAAUUUCCGCUUCUUAAAAAAUGCAGAAACAGAAGCAAAAAAUUAUUUUUUUCAAGUCUAAAAUAUCCCUUUCAUAUAUAUAUAUAUAUAUAUAUAUAUAUAUAUNNNNNNNNNNNNNNNNNNNNNNNNNNNNNNNNNNNNNNNNNNNNNNNNNUAUAUUAUUAUUAUUAUUAUUAUUAUUAUUAUUAUUAAACAUAUUUCAUAUGCUUGGUUAAGUUCCAUUUAAUAAUUGAAAAAAAAAGGUAACAACAAUUUUUUUUUGCAAGAUUAGAAAAAAGAAAAAAGUAACAAUUAAAGAUUUCAACUCUUCAAAAAAAUGUAUUAUAUUGAUUGAAAAUUUAAAUAUGAACAUUUUUAUUUAAUAAAAAUAAAAAUUUAAUUUAAUUUUUGUAAUAGGUGUUUAAACUAGUUUCUCUCUAUAAAAUAAUCUUAAUAUUAAAACAGUAUUAAUACUUGUCUUUUAUCGUAAUUUGACUCUCAAAAACACUUUAAAAAAAAGAUUAGUCAAACACAAUUGUUUUUUUUUUUCAAAAGCACUUUCCUAAAAAGCUAUUUUAAAAAAAGUGCUUAUGAAAAUAAGCAGUUUUUAGCAGCAAUGUCAAACAGGCUAUAUAUAUAUAGUAACAUUACGAAUAUUUUUCACACUAUCAAUAUAGAUUAACAUUUUUAUCAAGUUGUAUGUCAGUUAAUGUUUAUCAUAGAAAUUUACAUAACACACAUAUUUAUAAAUUUAUUAAAUACUUUAUUAAAUAUUUGAAUAUAAAUUCAGAUAUGAUUGUAGUAUUAACUUGAGGUUGUUAUAACAAUUUUUAAAUUAUAAAUUUUAGAUCCCCUGGGCUAAUAAGUGGUCUAAUUAUAGAUUAUUUUUUUUUACAGAAUUAAUGCAUAGACUAGUGAUAUGAUUAGGACAGUAAUUAUAGAGCUAGUGACACUAGAAUUCCAAAACCUUAUUUGCAGUCAAGAAUAAUGCUUUAAGUUUUUUAUUUUAUUUUAAUGAUUCUAAGUUAAAAGUAAAUGAGUAAAUGCGUUUUUUUCUUCAAACAUUUUGGAAUAUAAAUUUAAAUGACGCAAAAGCUCGUUAUUAUUUCAUUUCUCGUGGGUCCUUUUAGGUGUAUGAAAGUUACAUAUAAAAAAUAAAUUAAGAAAUAAAAUAAAAUAAUAAUAAUAAUAAUAUGUAACUUUCAUAGACCAAAAUGGAGGUGGAGAAAACACUUUUUUUUUCAUGGAUUAAGACAAUUUAGAGAUUUGAGCUUCAAAUUCCAAUAGUUAGUAAUGGAGACGAAUUUAGAAUAUGAAUUUUGUGCAUUUGAAUUUGAAUUCUCCAAAUUAGUUAUGUGUUCUGUUGGAUUUGAAAUUUGUUAUUUAUAUUUAUUUAGUGAAGUUUCUACAUUAUUAUUAUUAUAUAUAUAAAUUCUUAAGUUAUUUUCAAGAGCUGUUUUCAAUUAAUACUCCAUAUUAUCAGUCUCAUAAGAAAUAUUUUACACCUUUUAAUAAAUUUUUUUUAAAAAAAUUAUUCUUAUACUUUCUUAACAUCUCUCGUAACUAACAUUUUUUUAAUUGAGCAACUUGAAGCACGCUAACUUGACAAGCUUACCAUUUUAGACCAUAGGUUUAAUCUUUGAAAAUGAAGUCAUAUUUAAUAGAAAGUGUGAUAUCUUCUGAAAUAAAAUAUUUCGAUUGAAUUCAAAUUAAUCAAACAAAAACUUUUAAUAUUCAUAUUUUUAACAAUAGUUUUAUUGGGUGGACAACUUAUAAAUGUUGAGUUUUUCAUCAUCAAUAUGGACCCCUUAUACAACAAUUUUAAUGGGGUCCUCAAAUUCUAGUCUACUCCAAAUUGGAUUUUUCAAUAUUUGCUCCAAAUGAUUGAGAUUAAUUAUAUAUUUAUUUUAACCAUCAUAUCAUAUAUAUAAAAUCAUGUUAAAUCAAUUUUUGUUCUCUUACUAAGUAGAUGGUAAUAAAUUUGUGUUUUCUCUUCCCAUGAGAAUGGAACUAGUGCUAUAAUUAUCGAAAGUCUUUCUUUUAUUAAUAAAGUUCCUUUUAAUUACCUAUUUUACACACUCAUUCAAUAUUCAUGAAAAACAAUUAAAUCGAAGAUUUCUAAAUACUUGUAUUUAUUAUUCAAUAAAUGACUAAUUAAGAAUUCACUGAUCUUAGUCUAAUUCAAUUAGAAUUUUGGAUACUUUAUAGUUGUGUGUAUAUAUAUAUAAGACUGAUCAAAUGGAGUUAAUUGAAGUGUUAUAUUAUUAACAAAAGAUUAGCUAACUAAUCACCAUCCACAGUAAUGAAGCAUUCAAGAGUAGUAAAGUAGGUUUACUUUUUAUUAUUUAAUAAUGACUUUACAUAAUUUUCCUUUAUAUAUAAUAAAAAAUAUGAAUAAGGAAUACUAACAGACUCCAUUUUCUUAUUUUGAUUUCUCGCCACUUGUUUUUUUUUAAAGCCAAUAAAAUUUAAUAUUUAGAAAAACAACUAAAUCAUCAAGUCCCAAAAAGAACUAAAUUAUUUAAAACAAACAACUUUUUAUCUACUUAUUAUUUCUUUAUGACCGCGAUAAAAUCUGCAUACAUUCUAUCCGCAUAAAAUAGCUUGCAAACCACACAUGACUGACAUGAGAAUGUAAAUCGUACUAGACAAGCCCUAUGUGAUAGGCAUAUGCUAGACUCAGAAGUCAUUGAGGGAGAAUCAAUCCCGAGUCAUCCAUGUGAAUGACCAUCCUCUAAACCAAUUGAGUCAUCCAAAGGACACUUUUGAGAUUUUAAUCAUGGUAUAUUGUCUCUCUUUUUUCAUCCUAUCUUUGAUAUUAUUUGGGGUUUAUAGUAAUUUGAAUUUGAGCUGAAUAAGACUUAUUAAGGAAAGUGUUUCUAUUCAUGAUAAUUAUCAUUUUAAGAUUUGAAAUUUUAGAUCUUUAAUUAAGAAUGUAAUUUGAUUGUAAAUACUUAUUUAUCCUUAAUUAAAAAAAUUAUGUUCAAGUCUUAUUGUGUACAUAAUCCUCUUUUUUAGAAUAUAUUUUACAAUAUGGAAUUUCUCAGAGCUAGUCGAAUGAUUAAAAAGUUAAAAACUAGAUAAAAUUAAAGAGGGAAAAUAAUACAAUGUUUCCUCAAGUCAUCAAUUUAUUAUAAAUGAGGAUGUCUUUUUCGACCAGCUACAAAUUAAUUUUAAAAUUAAGAAAAAUAAAUAAAAGAAAGAAUAUGAUUAUUUUAAAAUUUCUAUGAACGAUUACGUCACUAUUGAAAAUCACUUUUUUGCUUAAAAAAUUCUUUUGGUUCCCUUUAAUGGGUCUCCUAAAGCAAUUUCUUUAUCUGUCCACCUUCCUGUAAUUUGCACGAAAUUUUAAAUUAAAAAACAGAAAUAAGAGCUUAUACAUCAGAAAUUUCCCUUUCAAAUAACUUAUUCCGAAAUUAAUUAUUUCGGAAUAAAUUAUCCCAUCAUAUAAAUGAAUAGCUUAUCUCAUCAUUUAGUUAUAAAUGGUGUGAUAAAUAAUCUCAACACAGGAUAAAAUAAUCCUUCAUCUAGCCACGCAACUGGGCGAGUUCAAUCCCAUGAAAAUGGAGAUAAAUAAAUAAAUUAUACAAUGCGAAAUCAAAUUACAUGCAUAUCAGAUUUCGAGUGAAAAAGUAAAAAGAAUAUAUGAAUCUUGAUAAGUUGCUUCUAUCAUAAAGGUAAAUGAUAAACAAGUAACUUUUUCGAAUAUAUUUUGAUAACGUGAACUUUAAAUUCUGAAUUCGUAUCUGAUUUUGAUACGAUAUAGUAGAUAGUGAUUUGAUACAUAGAAUAAUCCCUUAUACUUUUUGCAAGUUGCAAUUUAUUAGAUUCCAAGUUUAUUUUUUUUCUUAUUAUAGAAUCAGACUCAGCCAAUUGCCAUUAAACAUAUUUUCCCUUUCUUCUCCACUCGCCACAUACAAAAUCUCUGUGAAAAAAGCAAAAAUUCUGGAGAAAAAAUUGAACAAAAAUGUCGGAACCGGAAGGAGGAAUGACUCAAAAUCACCUUCCGAAGUCAAAGGAGUUGACUCCUCUGCCGCAUACGGCGUCGACGGCGCCGGUGACGGAGAGAGAGUCGAUGAUGAUGGAUCUCGAUUUCGAUAUUGACGCUUCCUGGUCUUUUGAUCAGAUUUUUGCUGCUGCUGCGGCGGUUUCAUCGAAUCCUGCGUCUCCGUUCCUGCCUUGUUCUCCUCUUUGGGCGUUUUCCGAUGAUAACGAUGAAAAACCUGCCGGAAAUGGACUUUCCGGUGCUCUACGUAUCUCCGGCCACCCUAGAUUUGUCGCUUGUAUGUAAGCCUUUGGUUUGGUUUAAGCUGUUUUGGUUUAGAGAAAUCAUUUGAGAAACUUUGGAGUAAAGUUAGUUGACUUUUUGUUCUUGCUGCAAAUUUAGGUGACCUUUUUAGGCUUUUUCAAAUUUAGGUAGCAUUUGAUUUAGUUUUUACAAAAAAAAGACUUAAAUUUGCUAAUUUUGAUUAGAAAAAACAGUAUCAAACAAACACUUCUGCAAGCAAAAGCUUUUUAAAAGUAUGCAAACUUUAGCUUUUGCAGAAACAGAAACAAUGGAAAGCUGAAAGAUUGCCGAAUUGGGAAAUCUUAGUAGCUCAGUUAAUUGGUUGGUUAAUUGAACUUUCACCUUGUUGGUGGGUUCGAUUCUCCACCUUGUAAUCUCCUCCACCAUUUCCCUUUCCGCUACCACCAUUUUUUUUUAAUUCUUCUCAGAAAAGAAAGAUUGCAGAAUUGGAUACCAUAUUUGCACAAUCUGAAUUGAAUCUAUUGAAAUUCAGUUUAGAGAAUAUUAUUUUGAAGACAUUACUUAUUCCCACCCUUUUAUUCACAUCAUGUUUACCGAAUUUGAUUCUAGGGAGAGCAAUAAUUACAUAGUGAGAUUAGUUAGAUUUGUUUUCUUCAUUUUCUUUCCAUUUUUGUUUCCUUGAUUAGGGAUCAUGUGGUUUUGUUCUUUCAUAAUUUAUGAACAUAGAUGCUACUAUAUUACUUAAGAUUAUAAAAAUAUGUAAAUAGGUAUGAAAAUAAUUUUAUUUUCGUAGAUUUUAAUGUAACAUCAUAUGCAAAUCAUAUCUUAAUAUUAGGGACAUUGGUUGAGUGAUAAUUAAAAGAAAGACACAUUUAUUUAUUGGUUUAGUGUAAACAACCUGUGAAUAUAUAUUAGAGCAGGAAAGUUUCUGCGGAGUUGUGCCCAUCUCUGUUUAGCAAUCAUAUAGUAGAUAAAGAACAUGCUGGACAUCAGAGUGUUAAUACAAUGUAAAAAGUACUUCUUGUAAUGAAUACUCUUGCUUACUGAUGAACAAAAUAUGUAGAAAUAUUUCUCGUCUCUGUAGAUAAGAAUAGAAUGUGAACUGAGUCUGCUUUUUCUUGAUGAAUUAGUAUUAUAAGCAUAUAGAAUCUUCACAUAGUACUUAUCAAAAAAAAAGAGAAAAAGAUGACUUCGCAUAGUAAAACAUUAAAGCUAUGCUGUCACUCUUGUGCAAUUGUUUUCCCAAUAGCUUAGAUUGUGGGAUAUACAAGAGUUGAACUUUUUUCCAUCUUGAACUUUAUAAUGAACUAGUUGUAGUCUUUCUAUAAUUAGAUUCUCCAUGAGUAGCUUUGCCUUGUGAUGUAUGAACUUUCUGUUAGUUUGUCCCUGUGAAAAUGGGAUAAAUGAGUUGAAUGUGCAUCAUUGGCUGGGAACACACAAUGAGAGAGUAAUCUAUUUGCCUUCCAUUUUUGGAGCAGACACUGGUGAUAUAGAAGGUACAACUGAAACUGUCUCUGUCAACGCUGAUAAGGGACGACUUCCUUCACCAAUUUCAGGACUAAUACCUGGAGAUAAUCCAGAUGGGUCUUGUAUAAUCAAGGAGAGGAUGACACAAGCGCUCCGAUACUUAAAGGAAUCCACAGGAGAGCGAGUCUUAGCUCAGGUCUGGGCACCUGUAAAGGAAGCUGGUCGGUCUGUACUCACAACUUCAGGGCAGCCCUUUGUUCUUGACCCAGAGUGUAAUGGGCUUCAUCAAUAUCGAACGGUUUCUCUGAUGUAUAUGUUUGCUGCGGAUGGAGAGACUGAUGGAGUUCUUGGACUUCCGGGCCGUGUCUUCCGCCUUAAGUUGCCUGAAUGGACACCAAAUGUGCAAUACUACUCCAGUAAAGAGUUCCCUCGGCUUGAUCAUGCUCUGCAUUACAAUGUUCGAGGAACUUUAGCGCUGCCUGUAUUUGAACCUUCUGGACGAUCUUGUGUUGGUGUACUGGAACUCAUAAUGACCUCCCAGAAGAUCAACUAUGCUGCUGAGGUGGAUAAAGUAUGCAAAGCACUGGAGGUUGGUUCUUUUAACCCUUGUGUAAAAUUUUUAAUUCACAUAUCUCAUGUUAGAUGUCCUAUCUUUCGAUGAUAUUGGAUCUUGUGUUUCUGCAUUAACUGUAUGAGAAAGUGUUAGAACCAGCCAUUUAUAGCAUCUAUUGUACCAUGAGAGGCUGAGAUUUUGUUUGUUGGAAACUUGUUCACAAUUCAAUCGUGCACUCAAUAGGAAUUAUUUGAUAGGGUUGUUGGCUUUCAAAGGUGCAUUUGGACAUGUAUUGUGCAGUCUUCACAUGGCAUGACAUCUAUCUGCAAGAGUAAAACCAAUUUUUGUGGUUACUUAUGUAGGGUAUUAAAUUUUUUUGAGUAGAUAAGCACGUCUUUCAUCUAAACCAAAUGUGUUCAUCAUCUUUUCUUGCCUUUACUUUUUUCGAGAUGAGCUCUCUUGGGCUAAUCUAAUUCUACUUUCUGCAGGCUGUAAAUUUGAAAAGUUCAGAUAUAUUGGACCACCCAAACACUCAGGUGAGGAACAGUUGUGUAUAAUUUUCUCAGUUAAGUGGUUGUUUAAUCAUUUUUCUGAACAGGUCUAUGUGAUGGGGUAUAUGAACCAGAUCUGCAAUGAAGGCCGGCAGAAUGCAUUGGUUGACAUCUUGGAGAUACUAACUGCAGUAUGUGAAACAUACAAACUGCCUCUGGCUCAGACAUGGGUUCCAUGCAGGCAUCGCAGUGUUCUGGCUGAUGGUGGUGGGUUGAAAAAGAGCUGCAGUAGUUUCGAUGGGAGCUGCAUGGGACAGAUCUGUAUGUCCACAACAGAUGUAGCAUUUUAUGUGGUUGAUGCUCACAUGUGGGGUUUCCGUGAUGCCUGUGCGGAGCAUCAUUUACAAAGGGGACAGGGAGUUGCUGGAAGAGCAUACGCUUCACGAAAAUCAUGCUAUUGUGAAGACAUCACAAAAUUUUGCAAAACCGAGUACCCUUUGGUACAUUAUGCACGCAUGUUUGGGUUGACCAGUUGUUUUGCAAUAUGCUUACGGAGCAGUCACACAGCCAAUGAUGAUUAUAUUCUGGAAUUUUUUCUGCCACCGAAUUCUGGGGAUUACAGUGACCAGCAGGCUUUGCUUAACUCACUCUUAUUGACAAUGAAGCAGCACUUCAGGAGUCUCAGCAUUGCUUCCGGAGGGGAACUUGAGCAUGACUGGAGUUCAGUUGAGAUUAUUCAGGCUUCCAUGGAAGAGAAAAUUGACGCAAAGCCUGAAUCUGUACCAACACCAAUAACUUCUCCUCAACUGACUAGUUUACCAAAUGGAUGGAUGCACCUUGAUCCAGUGGGAGAGCAGCAGUCAGCAGUAGGAUCCAAUGUUUCUAAAGGUGCAAGGAGCACAAGUGGUACAGGUGAAGCCCCUAACCAUGUAUCUAACUCCGACAAUAAAACGUCUGGAAAGAAAUCAGAGAGAAAACGUGGAAAAGCUGAGAAAACAAUUAGCUUAGAGGUUUUGCAGCAGUAUUUUGCUGGAAGUCUCAAGGAUGCUGCAAAGAGUCUUGGGGGUAUGUUCUCAAUUUGAAAUACUUUUUUUGACCAAAUCGCUUAUAUAAACGUAUCUCUUUUAUUUCCUUUUUUUUUUUAAAGCUAUUCUCAUCAAUGUUCUUGCAACAACAGUUUGCCCUACCACAAUGAAACGCAUAUGUAGGCAGCAUGGGAUCUCUAGAUGGCCAUCUCGCAAGAUAAAUAAGGUCAAUCGUUCCCUUUCAAAGCUAAAGUGUGUAAUUGAAUCCGUUCAAGGAGCCGAAGGUGCAUUUACUCUGACUUCACUGGCACCAAAUUCACUUCCUGCUGCUGUUAGUUCAAUUUCUUGGCCUGCUGGUGCAAAUGUUUCCAAUCUACCAAGUUCACCAUCGUCUAAACCUUCAGUAUUUCCUGGGGAGAAGAAUGAGUUCUCCCACCAUGGAACACCAGAAAGUCACAUAGAAGCUGAACCCUCAAAUCAAAUGCUAGGAGGCAGGGUGGCCAGGAAGGAAGAAUUCACUCCUACGCAGAACGGUUUUCUGCAUGCAGAAGGCACACGUAAGUCCAGAACAGGGAGUGUCUCAAGAGAAGUGAGCGCAGGGACACCUACGUCCCAUGGUUCAUGCCAAGGAAGUCCUUGUGCUGGAAAUGAAUUCUCCCCUCAGAACGAGCUGGUUAAUUCACCGGCACAUGAGUCGUGCAUGAAAGUGGGAGGCUCUCUGGAAGCAGCUCGCCAGACCACAACAGAAAUCAACUUAUCUUCUGCAUUCCUAAUGCCUCAGCCUAUUAUUCCAAAACACACCCAGGAACCAUUUGGAGGAAUGCUAGUUGAGGAUGCAGGCAGCUCUCACGAUCUGAGAAAUCUUUGUUUACCUAGAGACGCUCUGGUUGAUGAACGUGUCCCGGACUACAAUUUUACAAUCCCACCUGUUUCUGAUGCAACUGCCAAGGACCCCGUUUAUGUUCCCCCUGACGCGAUACAACAAUAUUCUGCCUGGCCUGAAGUGACAUCCGUUACAAUAAAAGCAACAUAUAAGGAAGACAUCAUAAGAUUUCGGCUUUGUUUAAAUUCUGGUACAGUUAAGUUGAAGGAAGAAGUAGCAAAGAGGCUUAAAUUAGAGCUUGGCACUAUCGACAUCAAGUAUCUAGACGAUGAUCUUGAGUUAGUUCCUAUUUCUUGUGAUGCUGAUUUGCAGGAAUGUGUCGAUAUCUCAAGAUCAUCGGGCAGCAGUAUUGUGAGGUUGUUGAUUCAUGAUAUUAUGUCCAACCUAGGGAGCUCCUGUGAGAGCUCAGGUAAAUGAUAAAGGAAUUAGGCUGUAAAUACAUAAAAACUAGUGAAGUAAUUAUUGUAAUACUAGGAUGUGUAAAUUUUGAUUGACAGGUUCUCUGUAAUUGUAACAAAUUUCCAAUUGUAUCAAGCCUCUGAGGUAAUAUAGUGUGUUUUCUUGUUUCUUUUGCUUCAGAAUAAAUUCAUUACUUAAAAUUUCCUCCUUUUUUGCUAUAAACGUAGUUUCCGGUCAAUUUGCACCCACCUCGAUAAAAUUUUACGUGAUACCCGCUAUCUUAUCUCUUUGAGUAGUAUAUCUUGAUGAAUAUACGGAAUAUUUCGUCUUUUUGGCUAGUAUGUACCGAUGAAAUUGUUGGUAUGCACACAUUCAAGAGGCCACUUAAUAUUUUGGUUUCAUCGCUACAAAGAAAGCUUUCGGAUUUUUCAUGGGAUCAAAACUUAAUAAAUUUCGAACUUUUUAUUCCAUAUCUGUUGCAACUAGUAUUUGAGUGUUUUUGCUUGAGUUGUACGAGAUGAAAGUCUCAUAUAUGAUUCUCAGAGGAGUAGUUUCAUCUAUCCCAAUAAUGUAUAUGAUUAGUUCAAAGAACGAUUAGUCUAACACUAUUUUUUAUAAACAAGAAAAGAAAGGACGAGAAAUCCAUCCCAAUUGACUAAAGUUUUCACCUAAACUUGAUUGUAUCACACCUCAAUAAUUCAUAUUAAUAUAUAUGAAACUGAAAAGCAACUUGUGAAACUAAUUCAUCUAAUAUAAUUUGACAGUAUAGAUGUAUUUUUAUCAAAGUAUUUUAAGCUACACAUUAAACAAUACAACAACAACCACAUAUCCCAUGCAUAUUAAACAACACUAUUAUCAUAAAUAAAAAAUAUGAGUAUGUUAGAUACUUCAUUAAAAAUUUAUAGAGCAUGCUUCUAAGUUCUAGGCGUAAAUUUUAAUUAGUCGGACUCAAAAAAGUACAAACACAGGGGUGUGAAAAAACAAAAAAAGAAAAGAAAAAAAUCAAUAUAAUAGAAACAACUAGGGAUAAGGGUUUGAAAAAUAUCCCAACUUUGGUCGAAUUUGCUGUUGCGAUACUAAACUUUCAUGAGGACCUAUUACCUCCCUAGACUAUUUAAUACCGUAUUUUUUUUACCCCCUGAACUAUUUAAUAGUGUAUUUUAAAGGUAUAUAUGUGCCCACGUGGACACAUUACUAUUUAUAAUUUUGCAUUAUUUUUUAUGUCCACGUGGGCAAAUAUAUAUGUUUAAAAUACGGUAUUAAAUAGUCUAGGGAGGUAAUAACUCCUUAUGAAAGUUUAGUAUCACAACAACAAAUCCGACCAAAAUUGGAAUAUUUUUCAGACCCUUAUCUCUAAAAAAAUCGAGGACUUGUUUAUUAUUAAUUCUGGUAACAUUUCUUAUCAUAUAUUUUCUUCUUACUAUACUUUUCAGGGCUCCGUUAUUAUUAUUUUUUCAAAAUAUAAGUAGACUUCAUGUAAGACUAAUUGUGUGCAGUUCAAAUUAAAAAAAUUAAAAAUAAAGACUCCAAAACCGAAUGGAGCUCUCUCCGUAUUAUCAUAUUUGCUAGUCAACUUGUUAAAAUAUUUCAUUAAACAUAAUUUAACAAUUAUAUAGAUGUAUUUUGAUAAGUAAUUACAGAGAAAACAAUAUUAUUAUCAUAACUAUAUCACUACAAAAAAAAGACUAUGUUAGAUGUUAACAUUUUAAUAAAGAUCUUAUAUUACUUUUUGUCUCAAUAUAGUAGAUUAUGUAGUCCGUGAAAUUAGUUGAGUUAUGUUUAAGUUGAUCCAAAUAUUAAAAAUGUUACGGAAAAUAUUUCAUCACAAACAUUUAUAGAGAAUUUUCAUAACUUGAAACAUGUCAGAAGACUGUUCUAAAGGAUAUUUCACCCGAUAUCGAUAUAUUUUUCAGAAUUCAAUAAGUUUUUCUAGUAUAAAACUAGAAACCAGACAAAGGUUCAAUAUAAACCAAACACAAGAAUAUUGGAGAAAGAAUAUUCACUUUCUCCCUUCCCCACCAAAUAAAUAGACAGACAUUUAUAGAUUAAAAAAAAAAGACAAAAUAAGAGUUGCUUAUGGCUGAACUUUUCAACGGUCAUUGAAAAAAAAUGAAUUUAAUAAUGUUGAAAGAAUUAAGAUAUUGUAAUGGCUAUUCAAAUGGUCAUUUAGAGAGGAAUUAAAGAUGAUUAAUGACUAAUCAAUAAAAGAUAUUUAACCACAAUAAAUGUAUUAAAAACUACUACUUAAUAAAGAAUGAACCUAGACACAAGUAUGAAUACUUCCUUUUGACUUUUGAGAUUCCAAAAUUAUUUUUCCAAUAAUAUCAUAGUUAUCACAAUAUUUUGGCAUAAUACAUAAAUAUACAAUUAAAAUUGGUCUUAACUGACAAGCAAAUAUAUCCAACUUUAAAAUACAUAUCUAGACCAUCUACAACUAAACAUUUCAUCUCGUUUUUAUAGUGUCUCGUGUACACCCAAUACUCACAUGAUACAUAAAUUUUAAAGAUAUUUAAAUAAUUAUUUUAUAAAUUUGAGUGUUUAACUAACACAAUAAAAAAAUGCAAAUUGAGAUGUCUAAUUUGCAAUACUAUUUUCAGAGUGAUCUUUCUCAAUUUCGAAAUGAAAAAAAAACUUAAUUUAAAGCAAAAUUCGCACGAUAACUUCUAAUAACUCGUUCAUUUUCAACCUGCGCUGGAGUUGGGGCGGAUGUAACUAAGUGGUCCUCCUCUUACCUUACAAGAGAAAGCUCCAAGUCCAAGGAUUAAAUUAUUAAUUAUUUAUAAAGAUAAAACUUUUUUCUUUUUUCAAAAUUUAUAGAAAAAUAAUUUCAAUUCUUAGUUGGCAACUAUACACUAGUACACCAUUGGCUUACCAAAAAUUGACCAUAUAUUAUACUAUAUAUACACAAGUAACUGAUAAUCAUCGCCAUUUUCUCGGAGCAACCCACUUUUCAGAUCUCUGAUUAAGGUACGAUUUUGAUUAAUUUAUUUAAAUUUAGAUGCAAAGUAAGUUAUUUGAUUUGGAGUUUUGAAAUUUUUGCAGUUUUUUUGUUAAAAUUGAUGUUUGUUUAACUCAGUUAUUAUCGAUUUUAUGGCCGGAAUAUGUAUGUUUUUGAUUUCUGAUAUAUGGGUCAUGAAGAAAUGAAACUUUUACAACAACUUAACCAGUAAAAAUUUUACGAGGUGGAGUCUUUCUCGAGUACAGUUUUCCAAAAAAAUCGAACUUCAAUAUAUAUUGGAGAAAUUUUGUCUCUUCCUAUUUUUUUUUUCUAUAGAAUAGUGUAUAUAUUGGUGUUUCGUGCGGUCAUAAAAAUAAUUUAUAAAGAUAUUAAUAUCCUGACAAUUAGUUUAAGUAGGAUCAGUUCUAUUACAAUUUUUUUUUAAAAAAUUUUCCAUUUAGAUAUUCACAUUGGAAACUCGACUAAAUUCAGAUUCGUGUCGGAAAGUCCCAUCUUAGGGGUAAAGUGCGCCCUAACAAAGGUGAUCCAGGAAACUCGAACCAAAAUCUCUUGAUUAAGGAAUAAGGAGUACUUACUACUCCACCACAACCCUUGUAGGUCUCUUACAAAAUAUAUAAUUAUGCUGUGAUUAUUCUUUGUCCAUUAUUUGGUUCAACGAAUUAAGGACAGUAUUUUUUAAAAAUAUAUAAUGCUAAUAUAACGAUUUGCUAUUUGUUAUUUAUAGACUUAUAGUACCUAAGAGAGUAAAAGACAUCGUUUAGCAUUAUGUUAGGAACGUUUAAGGAACAGAAAAAGAUGUACUAAAAAUGUGUGAUUAUUGAAUUUUAAAAAAAACAUAGUUACAUAAACAAAUGAAUAAGAAAAAGUAAAAUUGAAAAGAAAAAAAAAAGAAGGAAAAAAGAUACAUAUAAGAUGGUAGUAAUUGAUUUUGACUUGAUUUCUAAAACAAAUGGAACUUUUGUAAAUCAAUAAGUUGUAAAACUGAGCACUGUGAGGGAGUUGUGAAAAUUGCAAUUGCAAUCACUUAGUUGUUCCUGUAUGAGAGUCCACUUAAAUUGUCAGUCUCGCGCCUGGAUAAAUAAGGAGGAUAGCACUAGGCUAACGAUCGAUGUAAAACUAGUCAAUUCAGUCAUUAGAAAAUGUUGAAAACUGCUAAUGUUAGAGAACCAUGUCCAUAGGUAUUGAUUAGUAGAAUGAAAACUUGUUCAGAUGAAACAAUAUAGAUAGUGAAGAUCCAUAUAAUCGACCACUACUAGCUUGUGAUUGAAACAUAUUUGAUGCUGUUGAUUAAGAUUGACUCAGAAGAUUUGGUUAUGUUAGAUUUUAAUCAUUGCAUAUAAGAAAUUGGUUAUUGUAACAGCUUUGAUCCACAUUUUUGAAACGUUGUUUUUAGUCAACAAAUUUUCUUAUCAAUGUUGGUUUGAUGCACUUCUCGCGUUGAUUGUGGUUGUAUAUUGAAGUUGUUUUAGUUCCAACUCUAUUCGAAUUCAUUUAACUGCUUAAUCUUCGCGCUCAAUUGCUAUGUGUUCUGUUUUUGCUGCUUCUGCCGCUGGUAUGUUAGCAAAGUCAGAUUUCUGUAACUUGAUAUCUUGUGUUUUGACUUCGAAUACUGAAUAACUGUGUUAAAUUGCAGGAAAUUCAACACAGUGUAUCGUGUAUGGCUAGCUUCAAGGCAUUUUUGAACAGUCCUGUUGGCCCCAAAACAACUCAUUUUUGGGGUCCCAUAGGCAACUGGGGAUUUAUCAUUGCUGUACACUUAUCUAGAAUACAUAAUAUUAUAACAUGAUGUUUGUUUCUUUUGGUUGAUGUUGUACAUGAGUUAUCUUUACGUACAUUGCAGGGACUCGUAGACACACAGAAACCUCCAGAAAUGAUAUCACGCAACAUGACCUCAGGUAUAGGACUUUUCUGUUUAAACAGAUGCUGGCUUUAACGAUUAAUACAUUUAUCUUCUUCUUCUUUCUGAUAAUGCAGUAAUGUGUGUGUAUUCUGCACUGUUCAUGAGAUUUGCAUGGAUGGUACAGCCUCGUAAUUAUCUACUAAUGGUAUCCCAUGCCUCGAAUGAGACCGUGCAACUUUAUCAGUUAUCACGUUGGGCAAAGAGUCAAGGGUAAGCGAUUACCCUAACUUUACUACUUUGUUUUGUGUGUACAGUUGCAAUUUUACGAGUAUAUGUUUUGCAAAUAUAUGCUACCAAUCAUUCAUUUGUGUUUAUGUUGGUUUCCCCAUCGUACGUGCAGAUAUUUGCAGAAGAAAGCAGAGUGAUCUAGUGUUCUUUCCUGUUUAAUUCUGGACAUGUGUAUAGUUUUGGUAAUUUUCGAUAUCUCUAUUUGCACAGAUUAUUGUCCUUGAUCAUCCAAGAGCUGAACUAGGAGCUCAAAUUAUUACAUAUGCCACAGUAAAUAGCAUAAUUUGAAUGGCAAGAAAUGUUAGUAUGGAAGAAUUUAAUAUAUUUGUGAUUUCACCCAGCGCAAGGUCCAUUUCUUAUCAUAUUAUCAGAGUCAUACCCAUCUCUGUUCUAGGCUUACUCGAUGUUGAGCAUCCAUAUUAUAUUGUUCAUGCUUCAAAUAUCCAGUCCUGGGGGCGAGGGUACUGAGAGCCCUACAUUAGGGUGUGGGAUGAGAUUGUUUUCUCUUUAUAUGGUCUUGAGUAAUACUAGCUCGUGAACUAUUUGGGGUUAAGUUAGACCCAAUGUUCAUUUGACUUUUAGCUGUCAUGUGCACCACAAAGUUUAAAUCAAGAUAAAGGAACAAAGAUAUUAUCUGUAGCACAGUAGCAGUAGGUGAAGGCUGUUGCUUCUAUUUGUUGUUAUUUCUUGUCUUUGUUCCUAUACUGAAGAGGGGCGCGGGGUUGGCGUGGGGGUGGGUGCUACGAAAGGAAAAUGGGCCCAUUGACGUUGAGCUAAUGACUCAAAAUCAUUAGAAUAUGGGCCUUCCAAACAUUAAGUUAAACACUAGCGCAGCCUCGUUGCUCGCCUUUUGGGCCGCUCCAGAGACUGUCUUCUCAACCAGGUCCAGUUUUCCUUGAGUUUGUCUUUCUGUUAUCUGUCUCCCAGUAUACUUGUAAUAGGUGGCAUAAAGCAUUAGUUGUGCUAGCCCCAGCAUUGCUCCCAUCACAUUUGCUGUCUGAAAUAAAGAAGUGAAAAAUUUAGAGCAAUCAAGAAGAAUUUAACUUAACUUAUAUACGUUGACAGUAAGUGAAAAAUACUCACAAGAAGGUAGAAGUCGACACUGAUGAUGGCAUAAGCAGUCCAACUUAUGCUGCAUAGAAAGGAGAAAAAGGAAAGAUAGAAGGGCAUGUACUCCACACUCUUGGUUUUUAUCACCAAUUUCUACAAUAGCAAAAAGUAUCAGAAGUUCUCUAUUUAUUCUAAUGAGAUAUAAAUCUCACACAUAUGCUAAGGCCGGAGCUAAGAGGGAUGCAAAGGGGACCUAUCUGAAACCCUGGCCCUUCGCUGGUAUAUAUAUAUAUAUAUAUAUAAAGUCAAUUUAUUUUUGUUGAAUUCAUUUAGUGAACAUUCUAAAAAAAUCAUUAAGUACAAUCUGAAACCUUGGCCCUUCGUUGAAAAAUAAUUUAUUUUUGUUGAAUUCAUUUAGUGAACAUUCUAAAAAAAUCAUUAAGUACGUAAAAAAGGAAAGAUAGAAGGGCAUGUACUCCACACUCUUGUUUUUUAUCACCAAUUUCUACAAUAGUAAAAAGUAUCAAAAGUUCUCUAUAUAUUCUACCGACAUAUAAAUCUCACACAUAUGCUAAGGCCGGAGCUAAGAGGGAUGCAAAGGGGACCUAUCUGAAACCCUGGCCCUUCGCUGGUAUAUAUAUAUAUAUAUAUAUAAAGUCAAUUUAUUUUUGUUGAAUUCAUUUAGUGAACAUUCUAGAAAAAACAUUAAGUAUGUAAAAAAGGAAAUUAUAUAUUUACCAUGAUGGUCAAAGGAGAAGCAUACAUCAAAAUAUUUGCCACCAUGCAAAUAGUACCAACAAUUGUGUAUCUUUUUUUGUGGCAAUGGACAAGAGUUAUGACAAGAAUGGCAAGUGAACCAAUGAACACAAUUUCACUUAAGAUGAUGAAGAAAAUUUUCAUCCUUUUUUCCUUUUUAGAGUACAACACAAAUAGCAUCAAGUACACCAUGUCAAUGGCAAGUCCAAUUCUAUUAAUGGUCAUGAUAAGAAGGCUUCCUUGUUGUUGAAUCCAUGGAAGUCCAUAUAAAAGCCAAAGGCCACAGUUUAGGAAUGCAACAAUGUAUGGAAAUGGUGAGAAUUUCUCCACUGAUUUCUUCUUCCACAUAUGAAUAAAUGUAGGCCUAAAAAGAAGUUUAAGAAGUUAAUGAGCAAGAGGUGAACAAGUUUAGAUUAAUUACUUCCUCCGUCCCAUUUUACGUGGCACUUUUCAGAUUUCGAGAUUCAAACAAGUCUAUCUUUGACUUAUUUUUUUUAUAGAUCUUUAGACAUGUUGAAUUAUCAAUUAUUGUGACUUAUAAUACUUUUUACUUAGUUUACAAAUAUAUAAAUUUCAUUUUAAAAAAAGUUGAAAAUUCCAUGCGCAAAUUCCUGAUCAAACUUAAACUGUUUGACUCUCGAAAAAUAAAAAGUAUCACAUAAAUUGGGACAGAGGGAGUACUAAUUUGCUUAUUUCACUUGGAUAUUAAAUAAAUUUAACAACUACUAUGCUUCGGUCCCAAACAAGAGUGAUUUGUCAUUGACUAUAAGUAACAAGACAACAACAACAAAUAUAAUGUAAUGCCACAGAGUGGAAUCUGGAGAGGGUAAAGUGUAUGCAGAUUUUAAGGUAGAAUAUAAGUAAACAAGACAUAACGAAAAAAGUUCAAGCCAUAUAGACACACACAUCCUUUAAAUUAUCUUGAGAACUCAAUAAAUGGAGAAACAUGUAUAUAGCUUGCUUACAAGGGUGAAAGCAACAAGAUGAAUGCAUUGAUGCUUCCUGAAAUAAACAUACCAAAAUUCAUAUCAACAAAACAUAGUGAGAAAAAAAUUCAGCGAGUGUAUUUGUGUAUAUAAUUGUUUUUGAUAGGGUAGAAAACUAUGUUGCUCUAAUUCUUCAAAAGCGCCAGUGGGCACGCGCGUCCUGUCGUGUCGGAUCCUCUAAAAGUGUACUUGUCGGAUCCUUUAAAACUAGUGCACUUUUAGAGGAUCCGACACAGGUAACACUGUAUUUUUGAAGAGUUCAAACAAUAAAGAUAGAAAGUGAGUCCAAGAAACUUUUUUUUUCAUCACCCAACAACUUAAGAAAUAGAGGAAACUAACCAAAAAGACCAAAAGCAACAUGAGCAUGCUCUCUAUCAAUAACCAUGUCAAUGAAGAAAAAGAGAGGAACAAAUGCUAAAUUGGGAGGAGGGUGUGGGGAAAUGAAAAAAAAAACACCAAAUAAAUUGGGGAAAAGAGAAUUAAUUAUUUUUUGCAUGUAUUAUAGUUAGUCAAAGAUAAAACUACUCAUCAAUUAAUUAUUAUUAUUAUUUUUGCUUACACUAAAUUGGAAGCCAAACUUAUACUUAUUUUUUCUUUUGUUUUCAUUCUGGAUUGAGGUUACCCUCCAAUCUUUUGAAGUCAAAGUAUUCACAUUUACUCGUUUAUUUUGGAUUUUACAAUCCUUAUUAAAGAACAAUAAUUAAUAUGUAUUUUAUUAAAACACUUAUGUAAUUUUAAAUCAUGAGAAUUAUUUAGAGAUGUUAAAAGUAAAAUAGAAACAAGAUAUUAUUAUUGUUUAGUUAAAAAUAACAAAGAAAGUAAAAAAUAUUUUUGAAAUACAUUAAAAUAAGAGAAAAAACAUAAAAUGACAUCUGAAGUUGUCUUAAAUUUUUAAAAAGACACUUAAAGUUUGCGGGCGUCCCAUUACAUAUACCCCAUGUAACUAUUUCAAAUCACAAUAAAUAAACACUUUUGACCCAUUUUCACAAUAGCUGUGUUCUCACAUAUGAUAGGCGCGUGGAGGAGUAAAAAUACAUCCCAAACCAAUGUAAAAAUAUCAUGUGGCACUAGCAAUUUGAAUUUUCUUCUUUACUAAAAGACCCACUUUCCAUCUUCUUCAAAACCUCCAUUGAUAGAUGUUGAAGAGUUUUCCAUCUACAACCAAAAAAAAAAAAAAAAUUCCCCAUCCUCAAUGAAUUUAUCAUCUAGUUUUACUAGCUUCAAUUUCUUCCUUUUAUUUUAUUUAAAAGUUAUGAAAUCAACUAAUUUGUAAAUCUUGAAAGUGCAAUUGCAGACAAAUUUCAAAACUAAAUUAGUGAAGAAACAUUCAAACUCAAAUCAGUCCUAAACUAACACUACAUACACAUGAAUAAUAGAUAACACAAAAACAAAAUAACAACAAAUCACUAUAAAAUUAUUUUACAAAAAAUCACUACUAUAUAGAAAGAACAUUUUUUAACAAAAAAUUGCAUUCAAAUCAAGAAACAAUUAACAUGUGAGCCUUCACUUUUUCGUUUUGACUCCAUAAUUCAAGAAAUUAUCUCCGCAAAAUAAAUUUAUUGUGACUAUUGACAUGCUUUAAGGUUUUGAUCAUCAAAGAGAGAGAGUGGAGUGAAAAUCUAAAAGGGGUUUAGGGUUAAAUGGAGUGGUCAUGAUUAAAAUGUGAAUGGGUCAAGAUUUUAUUCAAUUUUUACUAAAUAAAUUGGAAAAAAUAUGUAAUUAUAUUAUUAAUUGGGGUGAGAUUCACGCUCAAGCACUAAGAAUGCAGAUUGUGUAAAAAGUGUGUAUUUAUUGUGAUUCUGAAAUAUUUUGUGGAGUAAUAAGACGACCGCAAAAUUAAAAUGUAUUUUUAAAAAUUUGAAACAACUUUAUGUGUCACUUUAUAUCUUUUCUUUUAAAAUAAAUAAAAGUGAAUGAAGGGAGUAAUUUUUUUUACAAGUUUGUUUUGAUUUUGGAGUAUUAUAUUUCAUUGGAAUUUGUAUCCUUCACAUCACCCAAUAAUUAGCAAAAUCUUUUUGUCCCACAAUAAUUACUAUAUUCGUCCGCUUUUAAUUGUUACAAUUUCCCUUUUUAGAGUUAAAGGAUAGUAAUAACUUUGAUUAAUAUUUUAUAAUGUAUUUUUUCAUCAUAUUGAUACGCAAAUUUAGAAUUUAUAGUAUUAUUCGUAUAGUUUUUGAAUAUCAAAAUUUUCUAUUUAAAAUAUCGAAUUAAUGUAAUCGAAUGUAACUUUGAAAAUUACUUAAAUUGACUUUCGAAAAACGCAACAUGACAAUUAAAAGUGGACAGAGGAAGAGGAAGUAUUAUCUAAGAAAUUCAACACAAGAAAUGAUAAUUUCAUUCUUUUAUUUUUAUUGUCACAUAUUCUAUUUUACUAGAGUUAAUUGGGUUAGUUUUUAUUUAAAUUUUAAAUUUGAAUAAUUGAAAACUACGUGAAACAUACCUGCAAGUUAUAUAUUUUUUUAAUAUUAGUAUCAUGAAAAAAAUACAACUUAAUAUUAAUCAAAAUAAAUAUAAUUUGGCUUUCAAAAAUCACAAGAAAUAAGUAAAAGUAACCUGAGGGAGUAACAAAGGAGUACGAACAACUUUAUUCAACGUGUUAAUAAGUUAAAACCAACACUACAGAAAAAUCUCGCAUGCAACUAAGGAUGUAACUGAUCAGAUGUAACCGCCAUUGACACGAAUAAUCUGUCCAUUCACCCAUUCAGAAGCAUCGCCGGCCAAAAAUCCGACGACCGGAGCAACAUCCUCCGACUGACCAAGUCUUCCAUGUGGACACUCAUCAAUCACCUUCUUCACUUUCUCUUCCGUUGCUCCAUUGAAAAACAUAUCCGUCGCUAUCGGUCCCGGCGCCACACAAUUCGCCGUUAUUCCUGUUCCUUUUAGUUCCUUCGCCAGUAUUUUCACCAUUGCUUCCACCGCCGCCUUCGACGCCGUGUACGCACCGUCAGUGGCGGAGGCAGGAAUUCUAUCAAGGGGGUUCAAAUAAUAAAAAAAGUUGUUGCCUGGAAUCGAACCCGUGACCCAAAGCUCACAUAGGCUGAAUCCUGACCCCCAUAAACUACUGAGCUACUCCUUUGACAUAUGCUCAGGGGUUCAAUUUUAAAUAUAUACACGUACACAAAAAAUUGAUCUUAUAUAUAUAGUGUAAUUUUUUUUUUCCGAGGGGGGUCGGAUGACCCCCCUGGACACACUAUAGAUCCGCCCCUGCGCACCGUUCCCAGCCCGAAACGACGCUGUCGCAGAUGACGUCACACAUAUAAUCCUUCCUCCGCCUCGGCGUUUGAUCAUUCUGUUCGCAGCUUCCUUACAGCAUAAAAAGGAUCCACGAGUAUUCACGCUAAAAGUCAAAUCGAAAUCGUUGAGAUCUGUAUUCAUGAUCGUUGGAUGCUUUUCGUCACACACGGCGGCGGAGUUCACUAAGAUGUUGACCGGAGAUUGAAAAGCUGAUUCAGCUGCGUCAAAUAGGGAUUUCACUGAGUCUGGAUCUGAGAUAUCAGCUUUAACGGCGACAGCGACGGCAGAUACGGCGGAAUUAUUCAUGGAUUUAUUAGAAUUGAUUUGAGAAACGACGUCGUCGGCUAGAGUAGUGGAGUUUGAGGAGGAAUAGUUGAUGAUGAGCUUAGCACCGAGAGAAGCUAGAUGAAGUGCAAUCGCUUUUCCGAUGCCGCGAGAAGAUCCGGUAACGAUAGCUACCCGAUUUUCGAGCGGCAAUUUUUGAGCAGGUACGUUUUCGUUUGAUUCCGCCAUGAAUGAAGAAAUUAAAGCUUUGAAAUUACUACUACUAAGGAAAGAUAAAUCAAUCGAACCAAGUCGAUGAUAUAUAAAAAUCGAUCAAACUGAUGAUUAAAACUUCUUUGUUCAUCGGGAAGAUAAUUUAUCCUUUUUCAAUUCAAUUAUUUAAAGAAAUGCAAAUCUUAUGAUUUGUUUAACAAUAUCAUAUGAUUUGAAAUCCCAACAUUACCUUACAACUUGUUUUAAAAUAAUCACAUAUUAUUUAUACAACAUUUUUAUAUUAGUUCUUCCUCUUACUCUAUUUUUAGAAUUUUUUACCAAAAACACUCAUAAACUAUACCCUUAAUUUAAAUUUUUUAAUCAAAUAAUUAAUGAAUUUUACACAAAAAUAUGUGCAGGUCACAUUGCUCUCCAUAAAAAAUUUCCCAUAUAAUUUCAUUAUUGGUUGGAAAAAGCACUCUUAUUUGCUAAAAAGAAAUUAAGUUAGAAUGGUGUUGCAAAGAGACAUGAUAUGCUCUUCUCCUCCUUUACCAACUUAACGAAGUUGAAGCUUAAUUUCACAUCAUUUUCACCUUCUGUAAAGACAAAAUGUAAGUAGAUCAAUAAUUAUUUGGGGCAUUUGAUAUUUGAAGUGAUCAAGAUUCUGAAUUUCAUAUAUGGCACUCGAAUUUUGUUCUCCAUUAUUAAAAGUAAAAGUCUCAGGUGACCACCAUUUCUUGCAGUUUCAAAGAGAAAAAAAAUAUUUCAAUUGGUAAUUUUUUAAUAUCAAAUCAAAUGAAAAAUAAAUUAAAACAAAGUUGCUAAUAAAAGGAUCUGCAUAAUGCCAAGUGUUGUUGCCAAAAAGAAUUCACAAUAUUUUAGAUGUAUCACGGAUCGAAUGAAAAGAUUUUUUAAUCUUUGGUGAUUUAGGGAGUUUUGCCGAGAGUAAUAUAAAUUACACAUAUUUUUGUAGGAAUUCUGUUAAUUUUUUGUCAAAUUUUAACAAAAGGAUGGAAGUUGUUAAAGUUUAAAAUACUUGAAGGAUGUUUUUUUGUUAAGAAGAAUAAUUUAAUGAUGUAAUUUAAGUUAGGAGUAGUUAAAGAAUGUUUUUGGCCAAAAACUCCUACUUUUAUUAUAAGUUUAUCAUUCAAGAUGUAUGACAAUACAAUCUAUUCAAACACUAUAUUUAUUGAAACAAUACAUUGCAAUUUGCAAUACACCACAGUUCACAUUACAAUACAUUAUGAUGACCAUCCAAAUUCCAAAUAAAGUGUGAAAAAAAAAAGCAAUCACAUAUGAUUAAUAAUAUCGUAAAACUCGAAUGAAUACCAAUUCAUGUAAUAAUUUCAAUAAAUUCAAACUUAUUUUAUUUAAAUACUCUUCCUAUGAAAUUAUCUAAAUUUCUCUCUGAUGAUCCUUCAGCUCUUAAUGCAUUAUUCUCUAACGUUUUCUUCACUUCCUUAAUUGCAUUUCUACACUCAUCACUUAAAUUUCCGUACAUAAAAUUGUGUAUUUUCUCUGAAAUUUCAACCUUAGUAAUUGGAUUUUUAUUGCACAAAUUAAGUCCGAUAUUCCAAUCAUCGACUACUAAUUUUCGAUUAGUAAAUUGAUCAGUGAGCAGAGGGAAACAAAACAAUGGAACUUCACACCAAAUGGCUUCCAGGAUUGAGUUCCAGCCACAAUGAAUCAAGAAUCCUCCGAUUGCUGAGUGAGUCACCACUUAUUUUUGACAACACCAAGGUACGACUAAACCACGACCACAAAUUUCUCCUUCAAAAUCUUUAGGUAACGGGUUCGGGUCAUCGGACCUUACAAUAUCGGGUCGGAGCAACCAAAUAAAACUAACUUUACUUAAUGAUAAACCAUAAGCUAUCUCUACAAGGUCAUUUUUGGUAAUAUGGGAAUAGCUACCAAAUGACACGUAUAAAACAGUUGCAUGUUGUUGUAAGUCGAGCCAGUGGGUGCAGUCGGACUCAAACCACAUGCUAGUAGUCACACAGCUCUUGGUGAACUCGGGUGGGAAGAUGGGUCCUAUCGCGUAAAAUGGCUUUUCAAUUUGUAGAGCUGAUAUAAUCUCGUAUUUGAGCUCCUAACAUAAGAUGAAAUCAGUAUUUCUUACAUCAUUAAAUGCAUUGAAAAUAAUUUGAUGACACAUUAGGUUGUGUCUGUUUCUUGAAGAUAUGACAUUAGGAUUAGGUCCUUUGGCUUUAUUGAUUGGACUCCUGGUAUAUAUAGUCAAUAGGAUCUUCACGCAUAUCUGUCAUCUGACCUCAAAUCAAACAAUAAACAUGAGCCAAUAUUAAAAAUAAAUAAACCGAAAAGGGUCAAAAUUACCCUUAAACUAUUCGAAAUAGAUUAAUUAUAUCCUUAAACUAUAUUUCGGCUCAAAAGUGUCCUUCCCGUCUAACUAUUGGACCCUGCUUACUCUUCUGUUUAACGGAAGAGUUAUGUGGCAUCCAUGUGUAUAUUAAAAUGCCACAUAGAUCUCCACAUGUGCACGCCAACACACCCACCUCCAUGUAGAAGCCCUAAUUUCCUUAGAAGAUUUUGUAAUAUAGAUUAUAGAAUAAGAGAUUAAAAUGAACAUAUAGGGAAGCUUACCAAUACAACCAAAGUGGCCAUGUAACAUCAAGAGAUGAAGAUGAUAAUAAAGGGUAAAAACCAAAGCUGGUUCUGUCCAAAAAUAUAGGUAUAAAAGUCCAUAUUUCUUGGUCAAUUUUCCAGGAAACACAAAGAAAGAAUCAGCAAUCAAACAGGUCACUGGAGGAUCUAAUUUUGACUCUUCUAGUUUUCACCAAAGCUUCUUCAACAUGAGCUGAGAACACAUGUAAUAAAGAAGCCAUGAAUUGGUGAUGGUUCAAUGACCUAUCGAAAUUUACUGGUAGCCCAUCAGACACCGUCAUAUAACGUAUAUCUAGUUCUUGAUGACCUUGAACGCUAUAAAAUAUGUCGAUAUUACUAUUCUUUUGAGUGAUCUGAUAGUGUGUGGACUCUGUAUUGAUGAAGGUGAUAGUGAAACCUUUUUGUGCAAGCUUGACUGCUAGAUGGAUUGUGAAAUGGUGCAAAGUCAGUGUAUGCAAGGUAUCAUGAUAUACUUGGGGUAGCUAGAAAUUUCAAUAAAAUAAUAAUAUACUCUGUGUAAUUUCAUAAGUAGAAUUGAAGAAGGAUAGGAGAGAGCAAGAUAAGAAUACGAAGCAUGGUAGCAAGUAAGGGUGUAAUGGACGGGCUGAUUUGGGUUUUUCAAAUAUCAAACCAAACCAUUUAUGUCGGAUUUUUAAAUCUAUAAACUAAAUCAAAUUAAUAAAAUUCGAAUUUUUCAACCUUGGGUUUUUUCUGGUUUUUCCGAUAAGUAUUCAUAAAAACAUAUAAUUAAUUUGUGCUUCAAAUAUUUCUUUUGUCCUACCAAAAUACAACUAUCGAAGGUGUUUAUUAAGAAAAUAACACAAAACAUGAGAUGAGUGAUGACACUAAAUACUGAUCAACAAAAAAUAAUAAUGAAAGUGCAUAAACCAAAUCUUGCAAAUUAAUAAGUUAUAAUGAAAAUGAUCAUAAUUUAAAAGUACUAAAUCAUGCUAAAAUAAGUCUAAUAAGUAUUAAUUACAUCACUAAAUAUUAAAGAAAAACUAAAAUUAGAUUAUGUAUUUUAAUUGUCUAAACUAAUGUAAAACUAAAGAACAAAUAUUCAACAUUAUUAUUGUCAUUCUUAAUGUUGAUCAAACUGAUUUUUUUUGUUAGCAUUAGUAUGAAUUUGAUUUUGAUUUGAGCUUUUUAGAAUUACUAACAUUAUAUGGACUAGAACCUUCAUUGGACCAUUCAAAAUCCUAAGUUUGUAUUUAUAAAUUAUAUCAAAGUAAUAUUUUUAUAUAAUAUAAAAUAAAAUUUUAAAAUUAUGUACAUAGUGUCAGAUUGGUUGGGUCUCGGGUUGAUUUUUUAGUUAAGACCAACCCAAUCCAACCUAAGUAUAGUCGGAUAUUUUUUUUCCCGAUUUGACUCUUUUACAGUUUAAUUUGAUUUUCAAUUCAAUUUUGUACACCCUUAACUACAACAAAAUAUAGUACCAAAAUGUAAAGCAAUUGAAGUAACAUGUAUUCAACAUGUAGCAAAAUACAAAUAGAAGAAAAUGAAUAACACGAUUAGUAAAUAAUACGUACUAUUAAUAAGAAACAGUGUAGAGAAAGCUAUCCCCUGCCUCUCUCACACAAUGAGACAACACUUCGCUAUAUAAUUUUUUUGUGAAAUACUCCCUCCAUUUCAAAAAGAGUGGUCUGAUUUGACUUGGCACGAAGUUUAAGAAAUUAAAGAAGACUAUUGAAUCUUGUGGUCCUAAAUUAAAGUUAUGUCAAAUGUACAAAAUUAUCCUUAAUCUUGUGGUCUUAAACAUGCCACGUGGAAAACAAAAAGUAAAAUGUUACCAAAAAAAAAUCAUUCUUUUUUAAACUGACUAAAAAAAAAAAGAGGUCAUUCUUUGUGAAACGGAGAGAGUAUAAUUUUCCGACAAAGGAUAUUCUAACUUUCUAUCUUUUAGGCUAAUGUGGCUCUGCUGCUACUCCUAAAUUUAUUAAAAUUUCCCUUCUUCCUUUUAUCAUUUGGAUAAUAAUCCUAACAGAAAUGUUGUCACCAAAUGACAUAAUACCCAUAUCAGCUAUACUAUAAGACAUUUUGUUGGUGUGACCAUUUUAAUAUUAUACAAAUUGUUACAUAUUCACAUUGCCAAUGCCACACUAAGUCUUUGCUGAAAUGUAUGACAUUUGUGCCUAAUUACUCAUGGUCAAUUAAUGACCAGAGGCAUAAGGCAUAUUACUUUCUGAACGUUGGCAAUGGAACGUUGGCAUCUGCACGUUAGUGCAUUUGUUGCCCUCAACUUUAUUUCAUUCUUUACUCCUCCAUUAUUUUUGUAACCUAUGUAACUCCUACGACCAUUAUCUUCACUAUUUACUACACCAUUAUCUUCAUAUUCAUUGCUAGGAAGACUUCUUGUACUAUAAAUAGUGGUGGUCUUCAUUUGGUUUGUGACACACAACAUAUAAGAAAAAUAUAGAGUGAAAGAGUUAGUCCCUUCUUAUUAGUUGAAGGGAUGUGUUUUUUUUGUGGAGCUUUGGACUCAACUCUUGUCCAGAGUUGUUGAGUUAUAUUUUGUGAUUAGGCUGUUGUAUCCUGGAGGGGACAAGUCAAGAAGGAUUACCGCUGGACCGGUGAAAAUAUUUGCUGCAAUGGGCUUGAAUCUCAUUAAAGAGAGCGAGAUAUCCGCGCCUCAGCCUGAAGAGAUUUAUUUCUUCAUUUUUAUUUUCAAUUGCAAUUUUGUAUUUUUUUCUUAUCUUGUAAGUUUUUCACUAACAAUUUUAAGGAGAUUCACCAUGAAUACAAUUGAAAAAAACGCGGAUGUCAAGAUGGGAGACCUUAACAAGCCAUUUCGGUUCAAUGGUAACCAUUUUAAGAGAUGGAAGGGUAAAGUACUUUUCUACUUAAGUCUUCUCAAUGUUUCUUAUGUGUUAACUGAGAAGAAUCCUAAUAAAGUAGACAUCACCUCUAUGAACGAUGAUGAAACUAUUUCUCAUCUAGAGAAAGUGGAAAAGUACGAUGGUGAUUCCUAUAAGUGUCGGUAUUAUAUUCUUAAUUGUCUAUCUGAUAAUUUUUAUGAUUAUUAUGAUAGAACUUACUCUAGUGCAAAGAAAAUUUGGAAAGCAUUGCAGUGUAAGUAUGAUACCAAAGAGGCUGGAGCGAAAAAAUAUGCGGCUAGUAGAUUUUUUCGUUUCCAAAUGGUGGACAACAAAUCAGUGGUAGACCAAGCUCAAGACUUUAUAAUGAUUGUUGGAGAGCUUAGAUCCGAGGAGGUUAAAAUUGGAGAUAACCUUAUUGUUUGUGGCAUAGUGGAUAAACUUCCACCUUCUUGGAAGGAAUUUUCAAAAAACUAUGCACCACAAACAAAAGGAAUCCUCUCUUGAAACCUUGAUAAUGAAAAUCCGCAUGGAAGAAGAGGAAAGGGGCCAAGAUGCACUUUUGCAAACAGAAGAGAGCAACAUCACAACGAAUGUAAAUUUAAUUACUUCAAAUAAUGCUACUCCUGAAACUCACAAAAAUACUUCUUUGAAGCCUAAGAAGAAAAAAUUCAAGAAAAAUAAUGGUGGAAAUAUCCAAGCACAAAAUUAGCAAGUUCAAGACAAGGGACCAUGCUUUGUUUGUGGCAAGAGUGGGCAUAUUGCUCGAUUUUGCAGAUUCCGAAAACGUGGUCCUAACCCUCUGGCAAACGUUACCGAAGAACCUUUUGUGGCGGUGAUUACCGACAUAAACAUGGUUGAGAAUGUUGAUGGAUGGUGGGCUGGAUUCUGGUGCAAACCGUCAUGUCUGUUAUGACAAAGACUAGCUUAAGAAAUAUACUCAUUUUGAGGAGCCCAAAACCAUCAUGCUUGGUGAUGCUCACACUACUCAAGUGCUUGGAAAGGGAGAUGUCGAAUUGUGUUUUACUUCUGGAAGGGAAUUAACUUUGAAAGAUGUACUUUAUACUCCUUCUAUGAGGAAAAAUCUGAUGUCUAGUUUUCUUCUUAAUAAAGCAGGCUUUAAACAAAUUAUUGAAUCUGAUCAAUAUGUAAUAGUGAAGAAGGGUAUUUUUGUGGGAAAGGGGUAUGCAUGUGAUGGGAUGUUCAAAUUGAAUGUUGAAAUGAAUAAAACUUCUACUUCUGUUUACAUGCUUUCUUCUACCAAUUUUUGGUCAUGCUCGUUUGUGUCAUAUUAAUGACCGUUAUGUUGGAAUCAUGAGUAGUUUAGGAUUAAUUCCAAUGAUUAAAAAGAAUUUUGAAAAGUGUGAGGCUUGUAGUAAAGCCAAGAUCACUAAAAGGCCUCAUUUUCAAGUUGAAAGAAAACUAAUUUGUUAGAAAUAGUUCAUACUGAUAUUUGUGAACUUGGUGGAAUUUUAACUCGUGGAGGUAAUAGAUAUUUUAUCACUUUCAUUGAUGAUUUUUUCUAAGUUUACAUAUGUUUACUUGAUGAAAAAUAAAAGUGAUGCUUUUGAAAAUUUCAAAACUUAUCUCCAUGAAGUUAAAAAUCAGUUUGGAAGAAAAAUAAAAGAAUUAGAAGUGAUAGAGGCCGUGAAUAUGAGUCAAAUGAGUUUAAUUCUUUUGUUAGAUCAUUGAGAAUAAUUCAUGAAACUACUCCUCCUUACUCUCCUUCAUCUAAUGGAGUAGCGGAAAGGAAAAAUAGAACUUUGGUUGAAUUGACUAAUGCCAUGCUUAUUGAGUCACAUGCACCUUUAAAUUUUUGGGGUGAAGCUAUUUUAACUGCUUGUUAUGUGUUGAAUCGUGUGCCUAAAAAAAAAGUCUAAACUGACACCUUUUGAAUUGUGGAAAGGUUACAAGCCAAGUUUGGGAUAUCUAAGAGUUUGGGGUUGUCUAGCCUUUGUGAGGCUAAUGGAUCCCAAAAUUACAAAGUUGGGUAAGAAAGUUACUACUUGUGCUUUUCUUGGUUAUGCUUCAAAUAGUACAGCCCAUAGAUUUUUUAAUCUUGAAGAUAAAAUUGUGAUAGAAUCGGGUGAUGCUAUUUUUCAUGAGAAUAAAUUUCCUUUUGAUUCUAAAAAUAGUGGGGGUCAAAAGAUUGAACAAAAUAUUUUGUCACUACCUAGUUCUUCUACUUCUACUUUAAAAAAAUAAAGAAAUUGAUGAUUUUGAGUUAAGAAGAAGCAAAAGAGCUAGAGUAGAAAAAGAUUUUGGUCCUGAUUUUUAUGUGUUUAAUGUUGGAGAUGACCCUCUCACUUUGAAAGAAACAUUAUCUUCACAUGAUUCUAUAUUUUGGAAAGAGGCUGUAAAUGAUGAAAUGGAAUCACUAAUUUCUAAUAAAACUUGGAAACUAGUUGAUUUACCACCGGGUUGUAAAAUUAUUGGUUGUAUAUGGAUCAACCCGAGUCUUUUGUUGAAGCAGGUCAAGCAAGCAAAGUAUGUAAACUUACUAAAUCCCUAUAUGGCUUGAAACAGGCACCUAAGCAAUGGCAUGAAAAGCUUGAUUCUUGCAUGAUUGAAAAUGGUUUUAAAACAAAUGAGUGUGAUAAGUGCAUAUAUCAUAAGUCUUGGAAUAAUUCACAUGUGAUUAUUUAUCUUAUAUGUUGANNNNNNNNNNNNNNNNNNNNNNNNNNNNNNNNNNNNNNNNNNNNNNNNNNNNNNNNNNNNNNNNNNNNNNNNNNNNNNNNNNNNNNNNNNNNNNNNNNNNNNNNNNNNAAUAUUCUUAGAAGUCAUUUUGAUAUGAAAGAUCUUGGUGAGGCAAAUUUUAUUCUUGGAAUAAAAAUAACAAGAACAUGUGAUGGAAUUUUCCUUGACCAGUCACAUUAUGUUGAGAAAAUAUUGAAAAAAUAUAAUUUUCUUGAUUGCAAGCAUGUUGCAACUCCUUUUGAUUCAAGUGUUCACUUAUUUCCUGUUGAAAGUGAAAAUGAUGUAAUAAAUCAAAAGGAAUAUGCUAACAUAAUCGGAAGUCUGAGAUAUGUGACUGAUUGUACUAGGCCUAAUAUUGCAUAUGCAUACUGAGUACUUGGCAGGUUUACAAGCAAGCCAGGUAAUGAACAUUGGCAUGCUAUAACAAAAGUGAUGAGAUAUUUAAUUGGAACAAAAAUUGUGGUUUGUUCUAUAAAAAUAUCCUGUUGUACUUGAAGGCUUUUGUGAUGCAGAUUGGAACACUUUAUCAGGUGAUUCCUGUUCUACCACUGGUUAUGUCUUUACUUUAGAUGAUGGUGCUGUUUGUUGGAGAUCAAAAAAGCAAACUAUUAUUGCUAACUCUACCAUGGAGGCUGAACUAAUUGCUUUAGCUUCAGCUAGUGAGGAACCGAAUUAGUUAAGAGAUUUGUUAUUUCAAAUACCUUAUUUUGAAAAACCAAUUCCUCCUAUUUUAAUUCAUUGUGAUAACACUGCUGCAAUUGGUAGAGUUCAAAACCGUUAUUACAACGGUAAAUCCAGACCUAUAAGGAGGAAACACAGUAAUAUAAGAUCAUAUUUGACAAGUGGUACCAUUAAUGUUGAUUAUGUCAAAUCUUGUGAUAAUCUUGCAAAUCUUUUAACUAAGGCCUUAACAAGAGAAAAGGUCUGGAGCACAUCGAGGGGAGUGGGAUUGAAGCCAGUGGCGGAGGGAGGAUUUUCAUCAAGGGGGUUCAAAAAAAAUUAAUCAUGUAAAUAAUAUCCACAAAUAAACGGAUCGGAUUAAACUGCCAAAUCAAGAAGAAAAGGGGUUUUUAAUAUUUGACUUUAUAAUUAGGGAUUAAACUAAUAAAUCCUAAAUUCCCAACCCUUCAUAUGAUGUAAGUGCAUUGUUUCCUGUAGUUUGUGAAGGUUGAGUUGAUAAAACUCUUAAUGAAUAUUUGUAGCCCGUAUGGGUGGAGUGUUAAGCUUACAGGAGCACUCUCGACAGAUUUCACACUUGUGAUGUGUGGAAGUAGGUCGCUUCCUAUGAGAAUUGGGCUUAUUCUCAAAAGCACUCAUGAAAUCGGGAUAGCACAUGGCCAUAACGUGCUGGCUUUAAAGCUCAUGUCUAACACCUUUGAUUAUUAUGUGUGGACAGUGAUAUUUAUUUUCCUCAAGCAGUCAUAGUUCAAGUCUGAGACCACUACGACUCUGGAGUAAAAGUUACUGUUUCACUAAGUGGAGGUUCAAUACAGAGCACACCUUCAUUAUGCAUGGUAGUCUCCUUCAGCUGAUAUACUCUCUUGUCUAAUAUUUAAAUGAGUGGGGAUUGUUGGUGUGACCAUUUUAAUAUUAUACAAAUUGUUACAUAUUCACAUUGCCAAUGCCACACUAAGUCUUUGCUGAAAUGUAUGACAUUUGUGCCUAAUUACUCAUGGUCAAUUAAUGACCAGAGGCAUAAGGCAUAUUGCUUUCUGAACGUUGGCAAUGGAACGUUGGCAUUUGCACGUUAGUGCAUUUGUUGCCCUCAACUUUAUUUCAUUAUUUACUCCUCCAUUAAUCUUGUAACCUAUGUAACUCCUAAGACCAUUAUCUUCACUAUUUACUACACCAUUAUCUUCCUAUUCAUUGCUAGGAAGACUUCUUGUACUAUAAAUAGUGGUGGUCUUCAUUUGGUUUGUGACACACAACAUAUAAGAUAAAUAUAGAGUGAAAGAGUUAGUCUCUUCUUAUUAGUUGAAGGGAAGUGUUUUUUUUGUGGAGCUUUGGACUCAACUCUUGUCCAGAGUUAUUGAGUUAUAUUUUGUGAUUAGGUUGUUGUAUCCUGGAGGGGACAAGUCAAGAAGGAUUACUGCUGGACCGGUGAAAACAUUUGCUGCAAUGGGCUUGAAUCUCAUUAAAGAGAGCGAGAUAUCCACAGCUCAGCCUGAAGAGAUUUAUUUCUUCAUUUUUAUUUUCAAUUGUAAUUUUGUAUUUUUUAUUAUCUUGUAAGUUUUUCACUAACACAUUUUCUCUAACAUCAUAUCUUUGUAAUUUACUCCCAUACAUGAUAAACAUUGAUUGAUUUUGUUGAAACUGAAAGUAAAAUUUGGAGGAAAAAAUGACAACAGAAACAUCUUCAAAUUACAAACUGAUAAACAAAAUGAAAACAAAGAUGAAUGACAAUUCAAAAGGACAACAACCAAUUGGCUUCACCAGAUUAUAAUGAUAUUAGCUUAGCUCCUAUACAUACCUCUACAAUGUUACAGAAUUUUUUUUUCUAGACAGAAUCAACUUCUGAACCCAAAGGCAGACCAUUUCUUUGAUGAAGUCUCCUUCUUCGUCGUCCUUUUAGAGGUUGGAUCAAUAAGAUUUUCUAAGGAUUUCGGAUUUUUGUUCCGAGAUCUGCCUGCUUCUUUCAAUAAUUCAGCCAGCCUCUUUUUCUCAUCGUUGAAAUCAGGAUUUGCUGUUCCAAGUUUUUCCUCUCUCAGUUUAAGAACGUACUCUAGAAUCUCAAUAGCAUCAUCCACUCUGUAUGUUACAUAACAUGUCAGAACAACCUUAACAUAAAAAAUACGCUUUGAAAGGUAUAUAGAGGCCACCAAACCAGUAAUGGCUUUUCUCUAAUGACGAUAGAGAGGUCAUUUUCAUUAGUGGAAUAAAAGUAGAGCAACAUAUCGGUCUAUCCUACCACAAAUGUAACCUCUAAGCACUCAAUGCAUAUGGAUUUGGUACAUGGGCAUGACAGUUCAUAAUGUAUAAUAAACCACAAAAUAAAUGUAAGAUACUUGUGAUAUAUUGCUACUUCAAUCCUUACUCUAACAAGUUGGCAUUGCCUAUACCGGUUCUUUGUUUCAUCUAGAGAUGUAAAAGAAAAUGCUCAAAUAUUAAUAUUACCUUCCAAUAGCAUCAUAAGUGGCGGCAAGAUUGCUAUAAACACCAAGGGUAUCUUGAUGACAAUGGCCACACUCCUGUUCCAGAAUUUCUCUAGCUUCUUCGAAUAACUCAGCAGCCUCAUCUAUUUUAAACAAUUGUACAGAAGACAACCCCAUCUGAUUUAAAACAACUCCAAAGAAAGCUGAUUUCCUCUCACCACUGGCUCUAAGUUUUGUUACUGCAUUUUCAAAGGAACUCCGUGCCUCUUCAUAUCUCCCGACCAUAUAAAACAUAACACCCAUCCGUGCUUCUAUGCCAGCAAUGGUACUUUGCUGUCCUGGUUUAUCCUCUAAGAGUUUCAUUGCCUUGAGCAGCAGUUUCAGGGCCUCCUCAGGUUCAUUAAAUAACUCAUAUAUUGCUGAAAUUUCCAUCAAUCCACUGGCAAUAUCUUCGGGGGUUGUUCCAGGUACAGGUUUUGCAUAUAUUCUGAGGGCAUUCUCACAAUAGGAUCUGGAUUCCCUCAGUUUUCCUGUCUUGUAGUAUAGGUCAGCCAGCCUUACAUAGACAGAUGCAACUGAAGGAUGGUUGUCACCCUUAGAUGAUUUGAAAACAGUGAGUGCUUUCUGAUAGGAGAAGACGGCCUCAUCAAAACGAGACAAUGACAAGUAGAUGUUCCCUAUUCCAACAUCAAUAGUUGCGACCUCAGUUUCCUGUCCAUUGGCAAUCAUAGCCAUGUUGGCAAGUACAAGGUGCUCAAGGGCUAACUCAUAAUCGCCUUUAGCCUCACAUAUUAGAGCCAUCAAACGACGAUCAGCUGCCUCUUCAAGAGAAGCUGGAGGACUGUGCACACGAUGGAUUUCCAGUGUUUUCUUGCACAAACUCUCGGCCUCAUCAAACUGCAUUGCCUGAACAUGGGCCUCAGCCAAGUACCUACAAUUCCAGUUUAGCUGUGUCAGAAUAAUUAUAGCCAAGAAAACACAUCGCCAUCUUGAAAUCAAAUGAUUAUCAAAGGCUUAUUGACCUCAAUCAGAAGCAUCUGUUAACUAAGUUUUACAAUGAGUUAGUUCAUCUGCCUUGCAGUAAAAUGUUUUUGUCUAUCCAAUUUCUUCAUCCAAUUCGAUUAUUGCGAAAUACGAGCUACAAUAUUUGGAAAUAUACAAGUAACAAUAGGUUUAUCCCGUCUUCAAAUGCCAGAACCACUUCUACAGAUAAACAUAUAACAUAAGAACUAAAACACUAAAAAUGCAAAAUUUGCGAAGACUUCAAAUGCUAGGAGCAAUGAGAUAAGAUACAUUACCUACAAGUCUCUGCGACUCUAGGAUCUGUGUCUCCCAAUGCUUCCAUCUGUGUUUUCAACCCUUCCUUGUAAGACUCGAUCGACCGAUCCAACUGUCCUAGCAUAGAAUACGUAUCACCAAGCUGCAUAUACCCUGAGAAGGCCGCAAGAGCAUGAUCCGCACCUCUUGAAACCUCCGGCACCUUAAUCGCCGUUUCUAGCACCGGAAUAGCCUCAUCAAAUCUCACCAAACUACAAUAUAUAGCUGCCACAACGUGCAGACUCAUAGCUAGAUCCAAACUCGGCUCACCGUCAACCGCGCACCUCUCAAACGACUUCGCAGCUCGUAAAGCAUAGUCUAGUGCUUUGUUCGGUCCUUCGCCGGAGGCAAUGGUGUCACGCGCUAGCUUUAACAGGAACGGUCCUAGAUCCGGAUUGUCAAGAGAUGACUCGUCGAUUUCAACCUUCUCCGGCGAGGAUUUCUUCUUUCCGGAGCUCCGAUCCGGAGAUGGCUUCGCCCGUGAAGUUGACGGUGAUGGAGGUCGUCGUGGCGCAGGUGAGUUUGUUUUCGGGUUAACUUGUUCGGAUCUACUAGAACCCGGCCCGUUUCGGCCGUGGUUCUCAUCGGAAAUUGAUAUUCUCAAUGCCGGAGUUUCCGGCGGAGUUUUGAUUGAAACUAAACCCGGCAUUGCAACAGCUCGAAAAUGCAAAAAAAUGAAAAUCACACUCUUUGCUUAAGAAGUUAAUUAAUCUAAAUUUGGCAGACUAUAAUAUGUUGUAUUAAGCAGUGAUUUUGUGAUUAGUGAAUAGUGAAGAGGUAAUUAGUAGGAUAAUUAAGGAGAGAAAAUGAAAUUUAGCUAACGUAAACCAACUGUUAAGAAAAUUAAAACAUUGAGGUGAGGGAGAAGGCAAAGACUUUGAGUGGACUUAAUACUGAAAAAAUAUUAGGCCAGCUCAGAUUUGUGCCGUUGUAAAGUGGGCCCAAUUUUGAUUACGUGGAUUCAAUCUGCGCUGGAAGGUAUCAUUUUUUAUUUGAGGAAUUUUCAUAAAUAUUUAGCUUAAUUAUCCAAAACGGAUAUAUAUAUCAAAUCCAUAAAUAUAUGUAAUAUGUUAGGUACAUUGUAGAUAUAAUCCUCUUUUGACGUAGUUAGUUAAUAUAUAUAUUUUUAAUUAUCAUUUAAUCAAAGACAAAUUGGUAUAAUUUUGGUGUAAAUUUGUAUCUAUCUUGUACAAAUGUAUCAUUUAAUCAAAGUUAAAAUACUUAUUUGCAUCAAACUAACUAAUUUAAGUUAAACAUUUUGAAAUUAAAGUGAGAAUAAAUGUAUGUGUGUAAGAUAGUUAUUUUGUAUAUUUAUUAGUCUGAUGUAAAGACCAAAGAAAUAAGUUUUUAUGGAUCCCAAAUAUAAUGCGUGUAAAUUAGAUAUUAUUUUAAUUAAUAUUAUAAGAAUACUUUAUGGUUUCAAUUUUUUUUUUUUAAACUAAUAAUUGUAUCUUUAAAUAUAAUAAAAUAAAUAAUUGACGAGCAUAGUUUGGUGAAAGUAUUAUUGUAGGUUGUUACAUGGCAUAAUGUUGUCUUAAAUCAUAUAGUCGUUCCAUGAUUAGUAUGAUUAGACAAGUUUUAGCUUAUGACUUUGAGUGAAACAAAUGCAAGCUAUUGCAAUAGUUGGGUUUUGAUAUAUUUAUAUAGAUAAGACGGUUAUCAAUAAAGAUUACGAUAAAAUGAUAAAUAGUUUUUAGUUCUUAAAUUAUAAUUGUAAAAUUGUCUUUCUAUAGAACAUUUAUUCUAAUAUAAGAUAUUUUAGUUCAAUAUAUAUUUAAUCAGAUUCUAAUGAAACUUAUAUAUAUAAAUAUCAGGUGGAAAAAAAAACAGAUUAGACGCAUAUGAAAGAUAGAUGAGAUAUUUGUCCAAAGCAACUUUGGAUUUUUGGAUUACUUUGGACACACUCACAAUUAUGAGUAUCAUUUGAGAUUCUAUAGAAACUAUAGGAUAUAAUUAGGUUACUUUUAUUGGAAUUAAAUAACUUAAGAUACCAUUCUCACUGUCUUUUCUCUCUACAGGCAUGUGCUGGAUCAUAAUGAUUUCUUUCAAUUUGUUGAAGAUUUUAGUUGAUAAAAAAAAUUAAGAGUUGCAACAACAAUAUGCUAAUUAACCAUUAUAUUUUUGUUCUUUUUUUCACAUACGUCGAGGUUAAAUAUAUUAAUGAAAUUUUGAAUUAAUGAAAGUACCAUUUCACAAAUUUUCAGUAAUUAUAUUAGUAGUUAAAGUUAUAUAUAAUGUAUUAACUUAACUUACAAACAAAUAUUUUAAAAUAUCACAAGGUGUGAAUUUUUUUGAUUUUUUUUUCUGUAUGUUUAACUUAGUAUAUUUUGAAUUAUUUUAGUGAAAAAAUUGAUUUCAUCACGAGAACAAUUAGGAAGUCAUUUGAUAGAUAAUAAAAAGACAACUUAUAGAAUAUAUGUCGAACAUUUAUUUAGAAGCACAGUCAAUUAAGAUCAGGAGCGCAUCGCUAGUAAAUAUUCGUUGGCAUCUCUUUUUUGGGGAUGGGCGUAAAUGAUGAUGGACCUUAAUUAGUUGCCAAUUUUUGGGCCAACAAGUUGAUAGCAACCUCAUUCUCAUGCAAUUUAAAAGUUUUCGUCUUAAAUGUUAGGUUCCACUAUCUCUUGUAUUUGAAAACACUAUGGCUUUUAAUUUUACGCAUCGAUACUUUGAAUUUUGAAAUAACUUUAGAUAUAUAGUGACUUUAAAUUUUGUCACAUAUGAUUGAACUAGAGGACAUGUAACUUCACACGCCAUAAAUCUAAAAUUGCUCCGAAGUAAAUAGACGUACAUUUUUACACACUACGAAUAUGACUUAAGCGAUGGUCCCAAAAUGGAUAUAGGUGAAUGAGAAUUUUAUUUAAAAGACAUGUACUUAUAAAGUUGAAAUUGAAAGUUAUAUAUGAGUGUGGUUACACUGGCAUACUGCAUCUGCCUUAUUAGCUGUCUGCAUUUAGUUUACAAAUGUUAUGGUGCGUGGCUCCUAUGCCACCACAAAAAAAUUGAUUGAAUUAAAAUAUAGAUUUAUGCCAUUUUCUGAACCUUUUUGUAUGAUGUGAUGUUAUUCAAAUAUUACCAAACAAACAUUAAUUCAUCCUAAUUUAACAGUUUGUUUGAAGGGGAAAUAAAAUAGUUUCUAAAAGUUUUUUUUAUUUGAAAAAACAUGAGACAGUACUAGAAAGGAUAUAUAAGAGCAUGACUUGUGUCAUUUUUAUAAGGUUAAUCACUUAAUUAUAAGGACAAAAUAUAAAAAGACAUUCAAACUUGGCCUCAGAUAUCAUGAAAAUACCCUAACUUUGAGUAUGCACGUCUAGACUUCUUAACUCGUCUUCAUUGUGUCAGUUUAAAACUCCAACUACAAAAUUAUUAUCUAGACAUUUUAAAAUUAUGUGCCACAUUAGCAUUGGAUAUCCACUAGACAACAUAGAGACAAGUUAAAGUAUUUAUUAUCAAUUAAGAUCAAAUUAAAAUAUCUAAAUAUGUACUUUCAAUCGAGAUGUGUAGUAAAAUUUCUUACAUUUACUAUGAAUAUAAUCUAAAAACUCAUGGUUCUCUUUCUCCUUUUCUCUGGUUAUUCCUCUCUCUCCUCUAUUGUGGAAAUUCACAAAAAAUUUAUGUAUAUAUAUAUAUAUAUUUUGUUUCUCAUUUGAUGUUUUGAGUCCAUAUUAGAGUUUCGAUUAAAUUUAGAUCGCACACUGCAGGAUCUAUUCGGUGACACUUCCAACAAAAUUUUCUCCAUAUCUAGAGUUCGAACUCGAAACCUCUAAUAAGAGUGUAGUAAUUCUACCACUGCACCUCAAUCUAAUCUAUGUUGGUUAUGUAUAUGCCUUCAAUGUGCCUCAAGCAACUUGAAAGUACACACCUAAAGUGUCAAAACUAAUAAAUAAGGUUGUUCCCCAGUCCUUAUUAAAGGCUGCCCAACAACUUGAAAUUCACCACUUGCACUAAUAAAAAGAAAUACUGGUAAAGAUUUGAAUGGUCACAAACCAAUAUAUGAUCCAGAAAUUUCUUGAAAGGGUCAUAACUAGUUAAUAUUAAUAUAUAUAUAUAUAUACGAAUAUUCUUCUAGAAAGGAAUUUCCCUUAAUUCUUUGUUGAGUCUAUUAAAUGUUCAAUUCAAUAACUAGGAUACUUUUUUUUUAAUAACUAGGAUACACUUUUUGUUUGAGUGAACCUCAAAUUAAAUUAUUGUACGUUACUUCAUUUGGAUGUACAAAACAAAAUAAUUAUAAGGGGAACUUUUAAAUUAUCAUUAAAAUUCAAUCAUCGAUAAAUAAAUAUAUAUAUAUAUAUAUAUAUAUAUAUGAUAAAAAUAAAAUUACUAACUAGAAGUUAGAUAAAAAGUACUAAAUUAAUCAAAAUAUUGACUCUUGAUCGAACACGAAUAAUGUCACAGAAAAGUGGAACAUCCCAUAUAUUUUUACAAUGAACACAAAAAUAGAAGUAAAAGAUUUUGAACACUAAAUACUUGCACUAGACUAUACUACAUUAACAUUGGAUCAUCUUGAUAACAUUUUUCAGAAAUAAGUUGAAGAUAUUCUUCAUAAACCUUCUCCAACAUGCUUUCAUUUGAAAGAUCACAAAAUCCAUCUAGUAGUACUUCAUCAAAUAACAAAUUUGAAGCACAAGGAAUAAAUGAAACCUCUUUAAUUUUACCCUCAACAUUCUCAUCAUCAUUGGUAAUAACAUUAAUCUUCUUGUUGUUAUUAUCACCUUCUUCAUAACUAUCUGAGGGUGAAGCUAUGUUGCUCGGGCUCUUCAAAAAUGCAGACAGGUGUAUGUCAGAUCCUUUAGAAAUAGUGCAUUUUUUAAGGACCUGACACGUUUGAGGCAACAUUUUAAGUGAGUUGGAACAACAUAAGGAUGAAUUGCUCAAUAAUGCAACAUUUUCAAUACUAGAAUUCCUUAUAAGUUCAGAGGAAAGUCUAAUUGGCUUUGGGACAAACACAACUUGAGGAGUGUCUAAAGAUUGGUCUUUUUUCUUGUUAUUUUUCUUCAUUUUGUCUUGUUUUUUUCUUGGAUUUUCUGUUUUGGGCUUUUUCUUGGGAUCUUUUUUGGGGGAAACUUUGUGCACUUUGUGGAGUUUGGGCUGAAUUCCAGCAAUUUUGAGCUUCUUGAUUACAUGAGUGUUCCAGUAAUUCUUGAUUUCAUUAUCUGUUCGACCUGGUAAUCGACCAGCUAUGAGUGACCAACGAUUGCCCAAAAGGGAAUGGAGCCUUAUUAUAAGAUCUUCUUCAUCUUGGCUAAAAUUUCCUCUCUUGAUUCCUGGCCUUAGAUAAUUCAUCCAUCUUAGCCUACAACUCUUUCCGCAUCUAAGUAGCCCUGAAAAAUUCAACUCGAUAUUAAUUAUACAAAAAUAUCACAAGUAGGGGAGGAGCUACAUGUCGUUCGGCAUAACUUAGUAGCUUUGGACAGAUAUUAUAUUUGUGUUAGAGCACAAUAAAUUAUCUUUACUAGAAUUUAAAAUUCAUAAAUUUAAAAUUUUUGUGUUUGAUUGGUGGCAUGAGUAGAAACAAAAAUACUUUUUGAAAAAAAAAUUAAUAUAUUAAAAGGUAAAUAUAAUAUUAGCAAAUUGGAGAGUGUUACAACUAAAUUUUAGAGUGAUAUAAUAAUAAUAAUAAUAAUAAGUGUUAAUCGCAAUAAAUAUUAUGAAGUUAAAUAAAGAAAGUCAUUUUUCUUAUUUUGAUAAAUAAAAAAAUCAAACGCUAAAAAAAAUGACAAACAUUAACCAAUAUUCUUAACAAUGUGAAUUUUUUUUAUAAAGUGUAUGAGCUUUGACCAAAAGUCAAUAAUAUUCCCAUAUUAUGAGUAUUUAAGAGCCAAACAAGAUUCUAGAAACUAACUAACACACAUAAAAACAUAAAAUGUGAAAGAUAUUAUUCGAACUCUUUAAGAUUAUCAACAAAUACGUCUCAAAUUUUUUAAAAAUAAUACAUUUCUGAAAAUCCAACACAAAUACAAUAAUAUUUUUAAAGUGUCUAACCAACGUAAAUUUCGAAGUGCAAAGGCAUACCAGCUUUAUUGGGCAAGUUUCUCCAUUGGCCUUCACCAUUUUCCUUAAUAUAAUUUGCAAGUAAUAAGUCUUCUUUUGUAGACCAUGGACCUUUACGAAGCCCCUCUUUAGCACAACAUGGAGCUCUCCCCAUUUCUUUUUGCUCACUAUAUAAGUAUAUUAUAUACUUUUAUUUGGACAAAAAUAAAAUAGAACUUCUCAAUAUAUAUAAUGAGAUAAGAAAUACCUAGAGACAAAAAGUGUAGACUUAAAAACGAUAGACAUUUAAUGCAUUUAUUUAGUUUUUUUUUCUUUAAAAUAAUUUAAAUGCAAGGAGUAUUAGUGGUCUUCUUUGCUCCGCAUGCUACUAAAAAUAAAUAAAUUGUAGUUGAGAUGGUCGGUUCAUCUAAACUCAGUACUUUCGAUAUAAAAUAAAAAUUUACUGAAAUUUUGUUAAAUAUUAGAUUAGAACUUAUACAUAUACCAAAAUAAUGAACUGCAUAUGAUAACACUUAAAAUUAAAUUUAAAUUCUGAAUUCGAUUCUGAUCGAUGUAUGAGAAAAAAUAUAUGAAAGAUGAAGAAAACGCCACAAAGGUUGUAGUAAAUUAAAGUCGUGCCCUUUUAGAAGCCACGAGAUCCACUUCAGGCACAUUAAAUACUGAUGGGACAAAUAGAGACAAUAUUAUGAAGUUGUUCUUUGCUACUAUAUACUAUUAGUUGGAAAUAUUAAGACCUAGAAUAUUUCAUUCAUAUAUAUAACGUUUGAGCUAACUACGACAUUUCAUCUAACUUCAUAACAUAUUUGAUUUUAUCUCUUAACGAUAUGAGUAUCGGAUGAAUUUGCGUAUAUUAUGACUAUUUAAUUUAACAGUGUGUUCGUUAUAUAUAAUAAGUAUAGAUAUUGAGUAAUUAUGUUUUGUUAUUUUCUAAUAUCACAAUUAUAAGAUCAACUUGCACAUACAAAUAUUAAAUCAAUUUAUAUAUAUUUCGACUAAUUUUAUGAAAUAUUUUUUUACCUCUUAUAAGUGGAUAUCAAAUUACUUAUUUGGGACCCCUCAUUAUUAUUUCUUGUUUGUAGUAUUCAUUUAUUCCUUUUGUCACAGAGGCAAAUGAUCACAGGGAAGUGAUUAAAUCUAAUGAAAGAAUUAAUAGAUAAUAAUACCUCUUUACCACUUGCAUCAUUUGGGCAAGGACUUUAUACUCCCUUCGUUCUUCUUUAGUUGUCAUGAUUUCUUUUUAGAGUCAAACAAUUAAAAAAAUUGAUUAACAUUUUACGAUAUAUAUUUUAUCAUAUUAAUAUGCAAAAAGUUGUAAUUUAUAAUAUUUUUCGUAUAGUUUUUAAAUAUUUAAAUUUUAGUUUAAAUAUCAAAUUAAUGUAAUCUAAUUUAACUUUAAAAAUUAGUUAAAUUGACUUUUGAAAAACGCAACAUGAUAACUAAAAAGGAACAGAGGGAGUAGUGAUAUUUCUCUUCUGAUUUGAAGUUCUUUUUCUAAAAUGUUUUAUUUAUCGUACUGUCCGUCCAUCCACGACCACCAAAAAAAAAGGGAAAAACAAAAAAGUAUACAUCAAUAUUGUAAUGUUUUUUUUUCUUUUUUUAUAUCACUUUAUUUUAAGAAAAUUAUCAUUUUUACCAAGUUUUCAAUUGUAUUUUAGUACAAAGUAGUCAUAAAUAAAAAUUAAUAUAUAGAGCAAAGUGUUGAUCAGUUAAAAAUGUUCAUAUAAAAAAAUAAAAAUGCUCAGAUAAAUGUGUAGACAUAUUAUAUUAUCGAAUAGAUAUAAUUAAGAAUAAUGGUAUAUAUAUAUAUUUUUUUUACUAUAUAAGAAGAGCGAAUAAGCACACUCUUCUCUGUCAACACGUGUGCUUACGUGAAAAUACACUCAAUUUAAGGGUUAUUUUUGUCAUUCUAUGUUUUACUUUACAUAAGUGUUGAGUACCUCAAUACCACGAAAUCAGUUAAUAGCCUCCACGUGGGCCGGACGAUGAAGGUACUUGCGUAAAUAAAUCAAAAUAGAGGGUUGCUUUAUGGUAUUUCGUACUUUUCAAACUUGAAAAAUGAUUGUACUUGCCUGCUUCAUAAAUGUACUUCCUUUUUGUUGGACACAAAAACCAUUUGCUUUUUUCCUCUUUUACGGCUUUAAUUGUGUGGGCCCUAUUAUUACUUUUGUACACCAUUUCAUUUUUCCUUGCAUUAUUCUUAUAUUUUAUUAUUUCCAGUUUCUAUCCUCCAGGGAUCUUUGAAUAUUAUUUAUUAAUUAAUUCAUUCAUUAAUAAAGUAUUUGUAUUGUUUCUUCCAUUUUAAUUGUUUCAUCUAUUUUUUUUUGCACGAAGUGUUAAAUAUGAAGAAUAUUUUUAAAUUUUGUAAUCUUAAAUUUAAAAUAUAUCACAUAUAUUAAAGUAAAAAGUAUUUCUAAUUUUAUAAUCAUAGAUACGCUAUGUAAAAAAAUUAAAAUUAAGAAGUAAUUUUCUUUUUAAGUGAAAUAAAAAAAUAGUUCAAAUAAAUUGAUACGGAAGGAGUCAUAUUUAAAAAAUAGAAUAAAUAUGUGAUAUUAUUAGAAAGAGCUUUAAUAUAUAUCUUAAACAUUAUUUUGUCUUCCGUAUAUUAUUUUGUGCAUAUAUGUGGAGUUCUAAAGUUUUUAACAUUUUAAUAUAGAAAUAUGAUUAUUUGAAAAUUUUAGUACUUUCUUCAUUUAAAAAUUUCUUUGUUUUUCUUUUAAUUUGUUCUAUAUUUAAAAAUUACAUAAAAAGUACUGAAAAUCACAAUGUAAUAAUAUAAGAUAUUAAAAAAAACAUAAUUAAAAAUCAUAAAAGAAAUUUUAUUGACUCUUUAAUUCCAUAUUGAAACAAAAGAAGUUUGUUUGAAAAUAACAUAAAAAGUAACGUAAAUUAAAGUAAAAUAACAACUAAAAAUAUUGAAGAAUCAUAUAAGAAAUUUAGUUGACUUUCGUAAAAGUACCUACGUCACAUAAAAUGGAACAGAAAGAGUAAUAUAUAUUAUUUGAAAAUGAUAUAAGAAGUGCUAUAAAUCACAAUAAAUUAACAACUUCAAAAUAUAUUUAACAAAAUCACAUACAAAAAAUUAUAUAACUCUCCAAAAUUUCAAUCGGUGUCACAUAAAUUGAAACAAAGAACUACUUCCAAUUUAUGUGACUUACUUUCCUUUUUAGUCAAUCCCAAAAGAAUGUCACAUUUCUAUAUUAAGUAACAAUUUGAUUAUAAAAUAUUUAUUUUACCCUUAAUGAAAUAAUUUACAGUCAUACAAAUUAUAUAAUUCAUUUUGGACCACAAGUUUUAAAAGUCUUCAUUUCUUUCUUAAACUUCGUGGCGAAUCAAACUACCUCACAUAAAAUGAGACGGAGAAAGUAAUAUAUAUUAGGCCCGCACUGGCGCGAGAACCUAAUAUCUAGUAUAUAUAUACGAAGCAAGAUGGAAAUGACUUUAAUUUGAUGAAGGAUAAAAUAAGAAAUGAAAUUAAUAAAAUGCUAGUAGAAUUAUUUUUUAUCAUCUUUUUUAAUCAAACUUUAUGAGGCUACCUACUUAUAUUUAUUUGCUGCUAUUGAUAAGCUUGCAGUCUGGUUAUAUCAUUUGCUCAGAAAAUUUGGAAGGGUGCUGCAAUUGACUUUUCCACGUGUCUGAUUAUAAUUUGCUGAGAAAUUUUAUUGUCUGAAAUAUUAUGUCAGAAAAGAAGAAUUUAAAAAUAAGAAAGGUGAGUCAAAAUAUUUUUGAAAAAAUACAUGAAAAGGUUGAAAAGAUUCUAACAUAUAUUAUAUCAUACAUAAAAAUGACGAGGGCGUUGUGAAAUUAUUGAGAUCUCUAUUACAUAUUUUUGGUACAUAACGUGAAAAUGAAAAAAAAAAUUAUGAGGGAGCAAUUUUUACCUCGGUGGAUUUGUUAAGCAUAAAUUCAAAUUAAUUAAAUCGAUGAAUCUCGAUCCGUCAAAUCGAAAAAGAAAAAAUAAGAGUAAAGUUUAAGUUCCACAUUUCCUCUUUGAUCAUGGUCAUAUCAUAUUUGACAAUUCUAGGACCCACAAGACUGACAAAUCAUAUUAUGUGGAGUAAAUUUGACCUCUUAAUUAAGCCAAAGUAGAAUAAUUCAAAUUGAUAGGGUGGUCAACAAUUAUAUGGUCGUUUAAUUUUAUCCCAUCGAUAAGAUAUCUUUGCUUACCUCAUAAGAAUCGUUUGUUCACGUUAUAUACUAUUUAUGCGGUGAAUAAUAAUAUAAAUUUGUUAUAUUGUGAAAAAUAUUAUAGCCAUAGUUGCAUACAAUUACCUUUACAAUUAUUCAAAUAUCGUUUACACUGUCAAUGUAUUAAAUUUACACUUAUUCAAGAAAGGUAUAAUACAUAAAUAUACUUGGAUUCAACUGACAUGUAUGUUCUCUAACUUUGAGUGUGCACAAGUAAACACUUAAACUUGUAUAAAAAUUGAACAAGUAAACACACACAUCACAAAUUGUCAUGUAGGACGAAUGUAUCCAUUUGUUCAAUUUCAUACAAGUUUAAGUGUCUAUCCAAAGUUAAAGGGCCCGUUUAUGUGUUAUGUCUUCGGAAAUAAGCUUCAAAAUUUCACUCUUCUAACUUACAAUAAAUAUCACAAUUUACAGCUCAAAUUCAAAAGACUAGAACUGAACAAAUGAAUAAUGAUAUUUGUACUAUGAUUUUCAUAUAUGUGAAUAAUAAUUACAUAUAUAGACUAGUAUAUGCUCAAGGCACAAAAUGUACUAUAACCUAUUGGAUAUCAUAUUUUCUUUGUGUUGAAACAUUUUUUGGUGACAGAGCCAAGAAUUGAUAUAAAUUUACAAGCAAGAGAGAAAGGAAAAAAUCUCAGGCUUUUGUCUGUGGCAGAAUUCGAAAUUGCCUAAUCCAGGCAUUAGGCGUUGCGCUCUUACCACUAGACUGAAGAUCCCCGGGGGGAGAAAGAAUCUCAGAAACGAAUUGGCAAUCCGUGGUUGAGGAAUGUUCUAAUGCAUCCAUCCAAUCCUGCGGUGACAACCACGAGACCCCACAAAUGACUUGAACUCAAUGCACUUUGCCAGGCACUCUUCAAGAUCUUGUAUUCGGAUUUACAUAUAGAAGGGGAGACAGUUGCAGGAGGACUUGAGUCGGGUAGUUUCUCCUCUGGCCACGUUGCAGAGCUCUUUAGUAGAGAAUCUAAGAAAGACGCACGUCCCAAGGAGAAGCAAUCUUGUAAAGAUGAAGUCUUUGAGCAUGAGUUCUCGUUGACAUCACCGUUUGCUAAAACAUUUCCUGGUAGUGUUGUCACUGGGUUGGUUUUAAAGCCAGACCAAGGUAUGGCAACUGAUGCAUUUUGGGAAAAGAAACUCUCAGAUGAACGGACUUUCUUUGGUUGGCUAGUCACCCCGUCCUCAUGACUAUAGUUCCAGAUAUAAACAUUUGAAUCCUCAGUGACUGCGAGAAUGUGUUUCCCAUCCGAUGUGAAUGAUGCAGGACAUUGGCUAUCCAAAUUUUUAGUUCCUGGACAUGCAGCAGAGACAACAGAGUCAGAAAAUCUACUCAAAAACGUCUUUUGUCAGAACUUGGUGGGGGACGGGGAGGUAGAGGGUACGCAACCAACACACCUUUGAAUUUGCAGAUGAUGUUGGAUCCACAAAGUAUUCUAACUUGGGAAUCAGCAGAAGUAACCAUGACUUUGCUCGAGUCAUUCGGGCAGUACUGCAUGAUCAAAGUCUACGUCAGUUCUCAAGAGGGGGAUAUAAUCAGUACGAGAAACCAUUCUUGUGAAAAGUAAGGAAACGAAAACAAACGGUUACCUGAAAUCCAGUUACUCUCUUGUUAGUAAGCUUCUUUUUUCCUUGCAGGCAUACCUGAAGGCCCAUUUGCAAACGAUUACCUAACACACAGAAAUGAUAGUCCAUUAAUGCGAAUUGUCUGAUAGAGUAGAAUGAAACAAGAUAAGUACUCCAUAAUAUAUCAGAGUAAAAACGCCGAGUGAUGGAAACUCAGUUGCACAAACAGUUCACUUAAAUAUAAAUGCAUUUGAAGACAACUCAAAACAGAUGGAGAACACAACUCCCUCCCCUCCAUUUUUCCCUUCUCUUGCAUAGCAAUAUUGCACUCACAAAAUACAAUUUUAUAGUACCAUUCCAGUGGUUAACUUCCUUUCUUCACUUCUAGAGCAGGACAAUGAAUGCUCGAUGAGUAUUAUAUGGAAAUCAUAGCUUGCAAAGUGCAUUUAGAAGUUUAGAGAAGUUAACUGUAUUACAAUGAUAACUUCCCUUCUUUACUUCUCGAGCAGGAUAAUGAAUUCUCGAUGAGUAAUAUAUGGAAAUCAUAACUUGCAAAGUGCAGUUAGAAGUUUAGAGAAGUAUACUGCAUGAUUAUAUGCUUUUCUAUCAUGAUGACCUACUCUAGCAAUUUAGUCGGGGGACAAAAAAGUCAGUUACCAGAAUUGUUCUAUUCUCAGAGCUAAUAUCGCGAGCAUUUAUAUGCAAAUCAGCGAGAAAAUGGAAGAACUAGAAAAAAGUGUCAAGAAAAGACAAGCUACCGUACCAACAACAUCAUAAAAACGGCAAUUGCCAUCCAUAUAUCCCACAACACCUCCCUGCACCAAUCACAAGCAACAAACUCAAAUAAGUUCCAAAACCAAGUACAAUCUUUAAGAAGGUUUAAAAAAGAAGCAAAGUGAUCAAACCUUUCCAUCAGGACUAUAACAAACAGCUGUCACUAUUUCCUUUACAUCAGUCCAAUCAAUCACUCGACACCCAUGCACCUCCCAGAGACGUACUUUCCCAUCUAUUGAGCCACUAAUGAAAUAAUUAUCAUCCAUGGGAUUGAACUCUACACAGGUGACUGUAUCCAAGUAUGACAUGGGCAGAUGUAUGAGAUGAGAAUCCAGUUUACAGUUUAGAAAAAUACUUCAGCAAGAAGAGUGAAAACACAGAAAUAGGCUCACCAUAAUUAUUGUGCGAAUAAACACCAAGGCAUUUAUCAUGUCCAACUUGCCAGAGACGAGCUGUUUUAUCAACAGAAGAUGACAGCAGAUACUGCAGCAAAUAAUGUUCGUACAAGAAUUACGGUUUAUUAAUGUAGGAUGAUGUUUUAUAAAGCUGUAAAAUAUACUCUCGUCAUUCACUUUUACUUGUCCAUAAUGGACUUUGCACUCCCCUUAAGAAGUAAUAAAUGAAGUGCAUACUUUACUUAAAUGCCCGUGACUAUUAGCAUUUCAAAAGAUCUUGAAAAAUGAUUUGGAGAAUGAGUAGUUAAUGUUAAGGGUAAAACAGAAAGAAAAAAAAA